UGUAACACCCUAACUUUCCGGGAUGCCAUCCAUUUUUGGAAUAUUUCCGUCCUAACAUGCUUAACUCUCUUAACUUCUUGGCCUAUCCACAGUCCAAAAUACUUAAACUGGGUUAAGAGUUUUAACCCUAUUAUAUCUUAUAUAUAGAAUUACCUGGGAGUCUCACAUUCUUUCUCCCUUAAGUCCUGACGUUCUCGUUACUCGUCAGGAUCAAACACAUAAGUAUCAGGCGAUGUGAGACUCGUCUCGUUAGUUUAAAUUGACCUCAUGGUGAGUUACGCACCACGCACAACAGUCAACAGCGUAAAAGUCUCGCUUUCUCCGCUGUAUAAUCUUGGCUUAGCUGAGACUUAUCUCACAUUUUCGAUUGAUAAUUAGCUCUGAUACCAAUUGUGACGUCUGACUUCCGAAGAGGUCAUUAUUUUAAUUUUACUACUUGACCUUUCAAGGUUUGCCUUCUUAAUAGAAAACCAAUAAAUUCGGAGAUAAGCCAUUUAAUGCAUCUCGUGUUAUUAAUUUUAUCGCUCAAUUUUAAACUUAAUAAUAGAGAUUGGACAACCAGAUAAAAUGAAUGUCUAAUAAAAGAAUCACAAAUUUAUAAAGUUAUUUCUUGUUGAAGCUGGUUGUGAGCUAGUACAUAUCAAUGUUUUAAAACCCGGGUUGACUGGGCCGGUCGGAUCAUAACCCAGCUCGGACCGGUUCAGUUCAACCCGUAAAAUCGAACUUGGUUAAAAUGUAUUUUGACCAUAGUUAGUUAAUUCGGAUUGGGCAAAAAUUCGGUACGGAUAUAAUGCGCAUAAAAUUUAUUUUCUAAUUUUUAAAUUCGUUGAAAAAUUCGGCUUAAAAAAUAAAUUCGGUAUAAAAUAUAAAAUAUAGAAUAUAAAAUAUAAUAUAAUCUAUAUUUAAAUAUAAAAAUUAUAUGUUUUUUAUUCAUAUUUUCAAUAAUUCGAAAAUAAUUCGGGAAUAAUUCGCGAAUUAUUCGGCUGGCCCAAAAAUUCGCGAAUAAUUUUCUAUCUUUGGAAAAAAUUCAUAAACGGACCGUUUAAUUCGGAUUUUCAAUAAUUCGCGAAUAAUUCACGAAUAGUUCGCGAAUUAACUAACAUAGAUUUUGACUUGCUCCAACCAAUGGUCCAAUCAACAAAUUGUUGAACCGGCUAGAUUCUACAAGAAUUGGUCAUGGUCAUAGUUUUUUAUUUUAUAUUUCGAUAAUUAAUUAAAAAAUGCUUAAUUAUUUUAAUAAUUUACACUUAAAAUACAUUUUUAACUAUAUAUAUAACAUAAUAAUAUAUAACAAUUAUACAUAGCACUAUGCUUAGUUUAUAUUUUUUUUUAAAUAUUUAUAUCAUUAUGUUUACGUUAUUCUACACGUACGAUAGUUCAACUAUUGGUUGAACUGGAGAUCAAUGAUCCAAUAGACAUUGGUACAGAUAACAAAUAUUAAAGACACGAGUUGAUAUUUAGUUUAUUGCUUAGGUUAGGGAACUCAUACUUAUAUCUUUCCUUUCUUAUUUUGAUUCGCUUUGGGUCCGUUAUUAAUUGUCCUUAUUGUUUUCUCUCAAAUAGUUUUGAGAUUAAUUUUCUACUUUCUCUUUUAUUAUAUUUGGUUGGCCGAAAAUGAACACCGAAAGUAUUAUUUUUAAAAAGUGACGUUUUAUAAGCUAUUUUGUUUGUGAAAGUAGAUAUAAAAGUUUUUUUUUUUGAAAAAAGAAGAUACAAAAGUCACAAUACAAAAAUUGGGCUAAGAAAGUGAGUUAUGACUAAAUAUUUAUUUAUUUAUUUAUUUUCUUACUUCGGCCUAAAAAUUUCAAAAUAAUCAAAAGCAGAAAUCUUAUUUUGAUUCGCUUUGGGUCCGUUAUUAAUUGUCCUUAUUGUUUUCUCUCAAAUAGUUUUGAGAUUAAUUUUCUACUUUCUCUUUUAUUAUAUUUGGUUGGCCGAAAAUGAACACCGAAAGUAUUAUUUUUAAAAAGUGACGUUUUAUAAGCUAUUUUGUUUGUGAAAGUAGAUAUAAAAGUUUUUUUUUUUGAAAAAAGAAGAUACAAAAGUCACAAUACAAAAAUUGGGCUAAGAAAGUGAGUUAUGACUAAAUAUUUAUUUAUUUAUUUAUUUUCUUACUUCGGCCUAAAAAUUUCAAAAUAAUCAAAAGCAGAAAGCUUAUCUAAAUAGUGAUAUUUGGUCCAAAUUUUAAUCUUUGAAUUUAUUUUUAGAGUUGAAUUUCAACUUAAUUUCAAUUAAAGUUAUGAAUUUGAUUUCAUAUUUUGAAUUUUAUUUUUAAUUUCAAAUUUAAAAGAAAAUGUUUAAAUUCAAAUUUGCAAAUUUAUAUUUAAAUUUCAAACUUAAAUUUAAAUUUGGAUUGUAAUUUAAAAUUUUAGUGUCACGUCCCGGAUUACUUGUUUCCCGGGCUCGCUAACAGACCAGCCGUAUACAUAGGUAAUUCCCCUGUAUACGAAGCGAAAAAGUAGAAGUACCUGUAAUCAUACAAUACUACAAAUAGUAGUAUAGAGUAGAUAGGAAAAAUAAACCAUAUAUAUAUAUAUAUAUAUAUAUAUAUAUAUAUAUAUAUAUAUAUAUAUAUAUAUAUAUAGUCUGUCUAUGGUGCUUGUAAAAGUACAAAGUACUUGGUGCUUGUAAAUAUUUUACCAUUAGAUCUACGCCUUUGAUCAUUUUCACACGUUAUAUUAUAUUAUUCAACCAACUACCCACUCAAUCCUUGGGGACCCACNGAGAUACAACAACUGUAUGUAAAGGCCCAAAAACUACAACUACUUGUAGCUGGUGUUCCUUUAGCUCUGCGACUCGUCUGGAAGGGCUCUAACUCGCAACGCCCUUGCCACGAUCAGUCUCAGUAGAAGCAGCAGCCGGAACAGAAGGCUCUGCCAAAACAGGAUAACAACUGGGCGUGAGAACUACUGCAAAAAAAAGUAGUUCUCAAUGGGUACCGCCCUCGAACUCAUCGGUUCACCGACUAAGUCUACAGGAAUAAGCAGAAAUAGUAAGGAAAGCUGGAAUAAAUCUACAGCUAAAUGCCACUAUAUUAUCAUACUCCAACUCUACUCUCUGUAGAACAAUGUCAUCUUAGACCCAAUCUUAAUAAGGACUGUAAUUAUACCCGUCGCUGGGACUAUGAACACACCUAUCCUGCCCGGUCGCGACUAUACAGCUACCUCCAUACUAACCAGUCCGUGGAGAGUAAGUCCAACCUGCACGAAUGACACCAACGCAAAAGCACAGCGCCCGUCUCUGGAGUGGCACUCGUGGGAGCUACCCAACCGAGUAUGCAGCGUAUCUCUGUCGAGCUCAAACAGGCUCCAACUAGCCAAAGUCAAGUAGUUAGGAUCAAAACAGGUCUAAAAACCAAACUCACGUACCCUCGGCACAAUCUGAGACCAAAAACAGGAAUCUGGGUCCACCGUCCACCCCGACGGCACCCGACAACCCGAAACAGUCUAGUCUCUACUGUAAAAUAAGCUCGGCAUCCAAGCACGAGCGUAAAUGCAUUCUAAACUAUCCCGGGUAUCCACCGCGCUGAAACAGCAGUGAUACGAUCAAAUGACGGCUCCUAGAGCUAAAUCAGGUAGUAGAAUCAUAUGACAGGUUAAAUCACUAGUUUUCUCCUAAGUCAAGAUCCAAGUCCAACAUGUAUAUUCAACUAAUUACUAUUCAUGCUCCAAAUUCAGAUUCAUACAUUAAACCAAUCGAUGAAUUUGAGCUACAACAUGAUAUUUUGAAGUCGAAACUAUACAUGUUUACUAUACAUAUACUUAGGAGCAAAACCGAUGAUAAACCCACCUCUAGAGCAAUUUCUUGGCAGCAAGGAGAUCACUCAGCUGCGGAUCCCCCUUGUCGGAACCCGCCGAACCUGCUCUCAGCCAGCGAUGAUCCACAAUCAAUAUCUGAACAUCAACACCCACUAAAAUCCAUCAAAUUUCACAAUUUCAGCACUUUAAGCUUAAAAAUCACCCAACUUCAACGUCAACACUCACCUAAAGAUCUCCAAAUCAGGUGAGGACAGUCCCACAUCCAGUAAAUAAUGAUGAGGGUGUGUCUCAGGUUCAAAAGUCUACUGCUUCCAAAGUUAGCAUUGAAGAACAUUCAAAAAGCUCAAAAUAAGCCUCAUAGUGACAGCAGUUCAGAAAAAUCUUAAUUCGACCCUACUAACCUCAACAAAAAUCUGCAAAAUUGGACUUUGUGGAUUCCUCUUGAAGUCUAGAAUCCAGCAAACUAAGUUUCACCACAAUCCGACCUUCCUACGUCGCACACGAGCCAAAACAUUGAAGGUCGUCGCUGGAAAACUGCAAAAUCAGCACUCCUCAAGCUGAAUUUUAUGGACUUUGUUGCAAUUUGAGUAGUUUGGAGGGGUUGGAAUGCAAAGUGUAGGAUCACUGUGAAGAAGAGAGGAAAAGAGCUCACCAGGGACGCUGCACAGCUAUUUAUAGGAUGAACAAAUGAUCAGAUGAACCUCAGGAACAAAGGCUGCAAACUUGCACUAUUGCAGAAAACUCAAGAUCUGGGCGCCUUAAACCCAGUUCUGGGCGCCCAGAACUUCCAGUCUGCACAAAUGCUCCCCUUCGAUUCCUCCGCCCGCGGUAUGCUGCGCCCGUAACCAACUCCGGCGGACCUCACCUACCACCAGCCACGUGUCAACACAAUCGGUAUUCACGAUGUGAAUUUUCGGACCCAUUUCUGGGCGCCCGAAACAUAGGAUCCGAAUUGGCUUCCAGUUUCAGUUAAUUUCAGCACUCAGUUCUGGGCGACCUAAACCAAGUUCUGGGCGCCCGAAUCUGGCAAAACUCCAGUUUUGCCUAUUUGAGUGCGCCGAGUCCAUUUCUGCAUCCGUUUCGUGCAGAAACGACUUCGACUCAGUCCGACACUCUCCAGAUAUGUUGACCAGUCACUAAUACUGCAGCCAAUCCUAUCCAAAUCUCAGGAACACUACAUUUAGAUUAAAAUUUUAAGUUUAAAAUUUUAAAUUUAAAUUUUAAUAAAAUUAUUUUUAUCUAGGAAUUUCAAUUUGAACUUUGAAUUCAAAUUGUUCCAAACUAUGAAUUCAAAUUAUACAUUGAAAUUUGAAUUCAAAAUUUAUAUUUUUAAUUUUGAAAUUGAAUUCAAAAUUUAUAUUUUUAAUUUUGAAACUUGAACUUGAAUUUAAGUUUGCAUUUGGAAUUUAAUUUCAGUAAUAAGAUUUAGUUUGAACUUUUAAUUCGAAUUAUAAAUUCAAAUGUUCAAUUUGAAUUAUGAUUUAAACUCACAUUUUAAUUUAAAUUUUAAUUCAAAUUGUGAAUUCAUAUUUGAAUUCAAAAUUUAAGAUCAAAUAGUAAAUCAAAAUUUGAGUCAAAUCAUGAAUUCAAAUUAUGAAUUCAAAUUUGAAUUAAGAUUUAAUCGUUAAGUUGAAAUAUGAUUUUAGAAUUUAAUUUCAAUUAUAAGGUAUAACUUAAAAUUUAAAUUCAAAUUAAAUUUGAUUAUAUGUCUUAAAUUUUAAUUAUAAAUUUUAAUCAGAAUUAGGUUUAAAUUUAAAAUUUAAAAUUUAAUUUUGAAUUCCAAGUGAAUUUAAAUUUAAAUUUAAAUUAUAGUCGUUUGUUUAUAUUUUUACUUUUUUAAUAUAAUCAAAUAAUCAAACAAUCGAAGUCACGAAACCAAAUUUUUUUAUUUUUCACUUUAUACCCAACCAAACAAUCAAAUUCAAAAAUUACUUUCGCAAAAGCCACUUUUAUAAAAAUAACUUUUUUCACUUCAAUCCUGUUUAGGCAACUAAACAUGAGAUUAUAAUUUGUAUUAUACCCCAAAACUAUUUUAUUUGUGCACUUACUAAAUAUAAAUUAAAAAUGUUAUUUUUUGGUAGGUAGUGUAAGCUAUGAGAAAAAAUAAUUAUUUUUUAUAAUUUAAUGUAGUAUAUAUUGGAAUGGAAGGUUAUAACUUUGGGUUUCGAUAUGCUCCUAACUUUAUUUAAUUUUCUUUUAUUUAUUCAAGUAAAUAUCUUAGGUCUUUUAAAAGUGGAGUCCAGAUACAAGAAAGUAUGUUAAAUAAAAAAGAAAAAAAGAUAAAAGAUCACAAAAUAGUACAGUGACUCUUGUGUCCCUAAUACAACCUCUUGUCUGUGAGCGACGUAGCUCUUAAAUUAGUUGCCGCAAGAGCAGUGCUAGUCCUACAGCCUCUAAUGAAGGGUUGUAAUGUUUUACAAUUUAAACCAUUUUAAAGAAUCAUUUUUUUUCAACUUGUCUUGCCCUUUUUUUCUUUGGUACUAAGAAGCAAAAAGUGUUAGAUAAAUGCUAGGCCCUCUGAUUAGUGUCGGAUUAUUUGUGCAAAAGCUUUACAUGUUAAAAAUACGCAACCAAUUCAUUUAAGGCAUACAAGUACAAUGCUUAUGGAUCUCGAUUGUGAUUCGCCCAAACCAACCUACGCCAUUUCGAACAUGAGUCAGCCUAACCCAGCCUCACACCAUUUUAAAUAUGACUCGGUCUAACCUCGCCUCCGACCACAAGGUAGGAUGGUGGCUCAUUUAAGCCAACAAUACUCUCUCUAGUAUAUGUACAAAAUUAUAGCAUGCAGGAAUCAAACCCAUGAUCUUUGACUCUAAUACCACUUGGCGGAUUGUUCGCACUACUAUUAAUCCCAAAAUUAAGUUCGAGCUAUUAGAAAUAUACAACAAAUUUACUUAAAGCUACAGACACAGCGUUCAUAGAUCUCGAUUAUGACUCGUCCCAACCAGCCUCGUGUUAUUUCGAACGUUACUUGAUCCAACCUAACAGCCCGCCAUAGGUAGGAUGCUGGCUUAUUUAAGCCAAAAUUAGGUGGUUGCGAAGAUUACAACCCAAAAGUGGUAGACUAAACAUUUCUAUUUAAUUAAAGCCAAAUUGCACUUUUAUCUUCAAACUAUAGAAUGUGUGAUAUUUUGAUCCUCAAUCUUUAAUUUUAUAUAAUAUAAUUUUCGCUCAAACUUUAUAAGUUAUUAUAAAUAAGUUCUGCAACAUAAUUUAAUGGAAAAACUUCAAAAAUCCCCUCUGUGAUUUCAUAGUUUCUCACUUUGCCCUCCCGUGGUUUAAAAUGUAUCAAACUGCCCCCCUGUGGUUUCAUUUUUAUCUUUUCGGUAUCUUUUUCGUUAAUAUUUUAUUAAAUUAUAUACAAAAAAACUUCAGAUAUCCAUCUAGAUUUAUCAAAUAUUCACUUUAGUACCCUUUAAAUUAACUUUAUCACUGAUUUAUAAAAAAAAAAAUGAAAUUGAUAAGAAAAAGAGAAAAAAGAAACCACAGGGGGGCAAAUUGAUACAUUUUAAAUCACAGGGGGGCAAAGUAAGAAACUACGAAACCACAGGAGGGUUUUUUGAAGUUUUCCCUAAUUUAAUUGACUAAAUAAUGAUAUGUCGUUGAUGUGGAAGUAAUACGACACGUUAAUAAUUGUCACUUUGUUAACCUAGUACUACUAAAUCACUUCGACAUUACUGACACACUAAUAUUAAGUAAAUUUAUUAGAUUAUAGAACUUGACUGUAACAAUUUAGAAAGUUUGAGAUGAAAGUUUUAACAAAUUAAAAUUUGAAGACCAAGCCUGAUUGUUUCACCAAAAGUGAAGUAGACUUUUGGGUGAAAGAAAGUUCAAAUAAAAAAUAAUUUCCUUCCACUAUUUAUUUCUAUAGCUAUCGAAUUAAAAUUUUCUAGUUUUUCUGUUUGUUUGGAAGAAAAAUGAGUUGCGUGAAGACUAAGUUGUGACAGAUGAAGUAAUAUUUUAUUUUAUUUUAUGUUUUCAUAAUUGACUUUCGGCCAGGGAUGGCAAAGUCAAUUACAUUAUUUUAAAAUAUUUGAAUUUCGGCAAAAUGUGAAGUUACGACAAAUCAAAUAAAAAAAGUGCAUAUUUAUAGCUAAAAAUCACUUCACCCCUCUUCUCCAAUUUAAAGCAAGGGUAAAAUGUUUGGAGAUCCUCCACAAUUAGUUUAUUUGCAAUAGGUGCCUAAACUUUCAAUUUUUGCAAAAAGACCCUUAUUUUAUUAAAUAGUUCAAUAAACCUCUCUCUUCAAUUAAAGUUAUUAAUUACACAAUUAUUUUGAUCUUAUAUAUUACAUAUAGUUUUAUAAAACUUCAAAAUAGUUUUUUUUUAAUAUGCUGACAUAUAAAAAAAAAAAUCUGUUCAAUCUUUUCUUCAAUUGUUAUGCCUCGGGCGUUAUCAAUACUUGAAGAGAAAAAAUAAAUCUCUAUAUACUUUUAAGUCUUUCAAAAUUGUGUGCAUGAUAUUCGAUCAAAACGAUUAUAUAACUAGUAAAUUCAAUUGAGAAGAAGAGUUUAUUGAACUAUUAAAAAAAAUUUAAGAAAUUUUUCUGUCAAAACUGAAAGUUCACGCAUCUAUUUUUGCAAAAGUGCUAAAGCUCAAGGUCCAUGUACUUUUUUUUUUCUUAAAAUAAAUCCAAGUAUUACUACCUGUACAUAGGGAUGCAAAUGGAUCCGGGGUUGGUGGAGCUCCUGCCCCUUACCAUCCCGAAUGGGGCGGUAAGUGGGAACAAAAAAUGUAGAAAAAUAUAAUCCAUCUCGAAUCCGCCCGAUCAGCCAAGUAAAUGGAGCAGGAUGUAGAAAAUCCUUUUCUUCCUUCAAUCCGUCCCAAUCCAUCAAAAAUCCGCUAAAAAAUCUGCUCCCGCCCCCGAUUCGCUCCGAAUAGGACGGUAAGUGGGACCCAGAAAUAAAAUAAAAAAUAACCUGCCCCGAAUUUGCCCUGUCUAGACAAGAAAUGGAGCGAGAGGUGUGGGAACCCUCCCGUCCCCGGAUCCGUCUUGUUUGCAUCCUUACCUGUAUGCUCAAAAGUGUAUAUUUUAUGCUCUCUUAUCCCAUGGUCAAUAAUGAAUUUUUUAAAUACUAAAAUUUUAAGGACAAAUUUGGUUCGCCUAUUUUAAACUGUAAAAUUGAAAUGAAAUUCAUUGGUUCCUAUAGUUGUUCUUUGUUUUACAAGAAUCGAAUUACAAUUCCUAUUCCGUUCUAUGAAAAUGGCCAAAUUCAUUUAUGACCCAAUCCGACUUUGAAUCUGGGAUUAGUUCAUUCCAAAUCUAUUCCAAUAAUAGACCAAAUAUUUUUAGAUAACUCAUCAGUCUAUUUUCAUUUCAAAAUAAUUCAAUUCUAUUUUUCAUUCAUAUUCCAAUCAUGGACCAAACUGUUGGCCUAGUGGUCCUAGUAUUUCAUUAGAUUUUUAUAAUAACAAAUAAUUAUAAUUAUUGGACUAAUCUUUUAUCUUGAGUUUUGCGUUUUAGAUCUCUCUAUCUUCAAAAGGACUCAAAAUGAGCAAUUCUCUAGUACCAAGCUUCACCAGUUGAAGCUAUGUUUGCUUCCUUUGUUAAAUAGACAAUUUCACUUUCUCUAUUCUUAUUUUGAUUAAUAUUAUGCCUUAUGAUUAAAGUGAGAAAUUUUGUCACUUUAUAGCUCACUUGAUCAAAUUUCUAACUUGUGAUAAGUGGUUUUUAUCUCCUUCUACAAGAUGCAUAGGAUUUUAUAAUAUUUAAAAUCUGCUCAAAAUCUGUUCUCUAUCAAGUUACUGUUCUGGACUCUAUUCUGGGCGCCCUAAAGUGAUCCGAAUCUCAUGUGUUUUUGGAUCCUGCCUAUUUGCUGUUCGAGUGGUCCAAAAAUUUCUUCACCUAAUCUAGGCGUCCGAAUGUCUGUUUAGGGCGACCGAAUUGUUUAACUUGACAGAUUGCGUGUUCCGAAUAGUACGACGGAUCGGCUCGAAAAAUUCUGAUGCAGCGCGGCGAAGGCAGCGCGCGUGUUGGAAAUCUGGGCGCCCGCAUCUUCUAGAAGCCCAAAUGAUUCCGCUCAGAGAAAGCGACGCACGUGGUCUGACUUGUUAGAAAAGCCGUCGCGCGUGAUCUAGGUGCCCACAAAUUCUGAAGGUCCAAAUGUACGAUUCUAGAAAAAGCGGCGUAUGUUGUCUAAUAGGCAGCUGGAAGUGCAGUGUGCGUGCACAACUUCUGGGUGCCCAAAAUCAUGUUUAGGGCGCCCAAAAGUGCAACAGACCGGAGCUGCCCGAGGCUAUAAGUAGAUGGCUUUGAGGCCUUUCUCAGCAGCAAUUGCAAAAUCCAUUUGAGCUUAAAAUUUUCAGUGUUUCUAAUACUCUUAGCUCUCAAUUAUCUCUCUAAAUUUGAGUGCAAUUUGUAAUGAGAUUUAAUCUUGUAAAAAAAGAGAAAAGCAAAGUCUUGAAACUUGAAAAGAAGAAGGUGUUGGCGUAAAGGCUUUGUGCUUGUCCGCAGAAGCAUCAGUUAGUGGAGAUCCAACAUUCUCUAGUAUUGAGAAGUUGGCGGGGACGUAAGCAAAGUGCCGAACCUCGAAACAAAUCGAUUGUGUGCUUUUUGAGUUUGCAUUCCUUUAAACUCCUCACUCUAUUAUUUGUUUCGGGUUUUUAAAAUUGCUUGAUUAUUUGGCUUUUUAUUUUAGAAACCUAAUUCAUCCCCCCUCUUAGGUUGUCAUUUUGAUCCUCACAAACAUGUCCUAAAAUACAUUCUCUUUUUUUCUAUUUUAUAGUGUAUAAGUAACUCUUCCUGCUCUAGAAUGAAAAUGACCAAAUUUAUUUAUGACCCAAUCCGACUUUGAAUCGGGGAUUAGCCCAUUCCAAAUCUAUUUCAAUAAUAAACUUAAAUAUUUUUAGAUGAUUCAUAAUUUUAUUUUUCAUUCUUAAAUAAUUUAAUUUAAUUUUUCAUUCCUAUUAUUAGGGGUGGCAAUCCACGCCAUUCGCGAGUCGGCUCGUGUUCGGCUCGAAAUGAGCUCGAGAUCAAAUCGCUCGUUUAGUAAACAAGCCGAACAUGAGUUGAAUUUUUCAGCUCGUUUAAUAAAUGAGCCAAACACGAGUUGGGAUCAACUCGCUCGUAUUCUGCUAGAUAAUAACUCGAAAUAUAUAUAUUUUAUAUUUAUAUAAUUUAUUUAAUUUAUAUUUAUAUAUAUUUAUAUAUAUAAAUAAAUAAUAUAUAUAUAUAUAUAUUUUUAUUACUUGACUUUUAGCAAAAAAAAAUAUAUAUAAAGUUGAGCUCAAUUUUGAAAAAACUUAUUUACAUGUAAAGUUUUAACCAUUAGAUCAAAAUCUAAUAGGUAAAAUUUUAUAAAUUUAUUUUUUAUAUCUAUUCAAUCUAAUUCAUUUAACUUAUUGCUCGUUCGUCAGGUCGUGAGUUAUCUCGUGUUCGGCUCGUUAUUAACGAGCCGAGCACGGACUAAAUUUUUCAGCUCGAUACUUUAACAAGUCAGUUCGUGCUCAGCUCGUUUAUUUGACCCAGCUCGUUUGCGUUCAGCUCAUUUAUUCUACCCUAGCUCGUCCAGUGUUCGGCUCAUUGACACCACUGCUGUUAUGGACCAAACAUGCCCUAAAAUAUGUUUGUUUUUUUUUUUUUUGUUUUUCUUUUUUUCUUUUCUUGGGUUGUAAAAGUAGCUUCUUUUCAAUAAACGCAUCUUUUGCAAUUUAGCUUUUAAACGCUUUUUUUUUUUUGGGGGUGUAAAAGUAGCAUCUUUGCAAAAAACGCAUCUUUUUCAACAAACGCAUCUUUUUUUCUCUUGAAGAAACGAAAGAGCAGCCUUCGUUCGAGAUCGCCUCUUCUUCGGCUUCUCCCUCUUCUGUCCGCCGCCCUUUUCUUUCCUGCCGCCGAAAGUUAACCCCCGAAAAAAAAAAGGAAAAAAAAAAAAAAUGGGCGUGACGAAGGAAGACGUGGAAGCCGCCCUCAACUCCGCCCUCAGCCCUUCCCAUCUCGUAAAUCCCGCUCCGAUUAAUCCUCUUCUCUUUCUCUCUCCGUUUCGCUCUUUAAUCGAAACCCUAAAUACAACUACAAGAAGCUCUUCUCCUUCUUUUAUUACUGUUUAUUCAUUUGGUUUUGAUUUUGGUUUUGGUGUUUUCGCAGGAGGUGAUCGAUACUUCCGGAGGGUAAGCGAUAUCUUUCUCAAUGCAUUCUCUCUUCUUUUUCAAAUAAAUAAAUAAAUAAAUAAAUAAAUAAAUACUCAUGCUAUGUAAUUUAAUGUAACAUCAGAAGGAUUUUUCUGUUCUUGUCAUGAUUGGCUAUCUUGCAGCACAGCCCCGGCCAAGUGACAGAGGACAAGCAAUCAUUAUAUUCUGGGUGUUUAUUUGACAACGCAAAAUAAAAACUUAAAAGCAAGUCCUCGUUUAGUAUCAUCGUCUUUGUUUUUUUAAAAAAAAUUUUAAACACUAAUUCUAUAUAAUUUAAUACGUUGGAAAAAACAAAUUUCUAUUUCUGUUAUAGUUCGUUAGCUUAUAAUACUUCUGACUAAGUGAUAGAUGACAAUUUACUUAAAAAGAACUUUGAAAGCAGGAAGAAAGUCUUUUUUUUUUUUUUUUGUCAAGUAAAUACUAUGGAUGAAAGGAUUGCACGUAAUUUACUGUUCAUCUUAUAUCUUUGGCUAAAUUAUAGAAAAUCUCCUAGCCAAAAUCUAAUUUUUCUUUUCCCGUCAUUUAAAAAUCUACAUUUGCCCUCUUAUAAAAUAAAAAAUGUUCGCGGGGUACGGUGUGAAAUGUGAUGAGAAAAUGACCAUUUUGCCCCUCAUCAUUUUCGUCUCCUCCCUCAUCUUGCUCAUCCGCCGUCUAGAUCGGUCGCGGUUCGCGCCUCGAUCGGUCGCGAUUUCUCUUUAUUUUCUUCUCCAUCUGCUCCCCUUCUCCUCCUGCAUCCUCGUCGCCCCUCUAUUUUGGCGACAGUAGGGAGGAAAUCGAGGUAGACGUGAAUGGAAAAGUGGGUAAGGGCGACGAGGGCAAAGGCGAGGCGGCGGAGGAGGGCGAGAGGUUAUUUGUGGGCGCGGAUGGACAUGUGGGCGAGGGCGAGGCAAUGAAGGAGGGCGAGGCGGCGGGGCAGAGGAGGGUGAAGCACAGUAGAGGGUAGAGGGUAUUUUUGGCAUAAAAAAUAUUUUAUAACCGAACCCUAAUGGAUCAUUAACGGUAGGGGGUGAAGUGAACAUUUUUUAUUUUACAACAGAUAUAGGUUUUUAAAUGACAGGAAGGGAAAGUGAAAAAUCGGGUUUUGACAAGGCGGUUUUCUAUAAUUUAGACUAUAUCUUUUGAUAUACAAACUUUAUCUUUAUCUUAAAAAUAAGAAAUAAAUACGAUACCAAACGAGGCAUAUUUUUCUUUUUUUUUUUUUCGCUUUGAAGGGUUUUCUAAAUGAGCUGGCAUUCAUCACUUGGCUUGCAAUGCAAGCUAAUUAACUAUGAGAAUAAGAUGAAAGUCUUUCUGCUGGCAUAUCAAUUUAUAUGGAAUUGGACAUGUUUGGUUUGAAGGAUUUGAGACUUGGAAUGAGAAUUGGAAUGGUCCGUUUCUAUUGUUGGUGUUUGGUUUGAGAGAUUGACGUUCUAAUUCCCAUUUUGGGGGAAUCGAAUCCCUUAAAAUGAUUCUCAUCAUGGAGAUUGGAAUCAACAUUAAUUCAAGAAGAGAUUGAAAAAAGAACUUUUUUUCACUAACACAUAUUUAAAUUUAAAUGUGGAAUAAAUUAUUAAUUUUAAAUUUGAAUUUGAAUGAUGGAUUCAAAUUCAAUUUUUAAUUUCCUAAGUUCAAAUUUAAGUUUUUGACUUUGAACUUGAAUUUGAAUUGUACAUAUACAUUUUAAGUUCAAAUUGUGAGUUCAAAGUUAAAUUUAAAUUUUGACUACAAUGUUGGAUAGUAAAUUAAAAUUUUAAUUUUUUUUUAUUUCAAUCUGAAUGUGAUUUCGAUUCCUAGUCCUCUUAGGAACCAAACGAAUUUGGAGUUUUUAUCAUUAUGUUUUCGAUUCUGGUUCAUUUUCAUUCCUAUUCCGAUUUUGAUUCCUAUUUCGAACCGAACGUGCCCUUAAUGGUAAAGAAAAAGGCAAUAAUACCAAACGAGGCCUUAGAUUUUUGUUUUUUAUUGUCAAACAAAUACCUUGGAUGUAAAGAUUGCAAAGCAAUCAACCAUCCUCUCCUGCACUAUUUCAUGUAGCAAUUCUAUCUAAAAAACAAAAAACAAAAAAAAACAACGAUGCCAAAUGAAGCCUUCGCAUAUUCAUCAUUAUCUCACAAUGUUUCUUUUAUUUUUUGGGAUAAAAGUUGUAUAUGAACCCUCUUAACCAUAUGGUAUUUUAACCUUAGGGUAUUUUGUAAUAGACCCGGCAAUUAUGUUUCUUUUAAUAUGAGUCAUGGAACAAUUCAUGGGGCUAUUCAGGAUUCAAAUGUUUAUCAAAUGGUUAUUCAGUAUAAGUACUAAUCACGUCAGGCCCAAUUUUAAAAAUAAAAACAGAAUUUGUGUUUUCGAACAUAUUGUAAAGGGCCUUAGUUUUUUUCCUUUUUUUCGUUUAAGUUAAUUUUAUUAAUUUAAAUCGAGAAUUUUUGUUUAGUCUGGCAGUGAUUUUGUUACUAACUUUUUUCGCCUAAUGAUAUUGUGAAUUUCUACCAUUAGUUUUAAUAUAUUUUUAUUUCAAUUUAGAAUGUAUUGAAUCAAAAUAAUCAGAAGUUUGGAGGUUGCCGAUCAAAAGAAAUAAAUGUGAGAACCAAUUUCAAAAUGGCCUACAUUUGAGGCGGUCCUUAUGCAAUUUGAAUCUUCCUUUUGCUGUAAAAAUGAGGAAAAUUAGGACGCGUCCUACAUUGGGCACGCCCUUAAAAGCUGAUAUGUAGCUUUGUGCGGGUUUUGAGCUGUAUGCAUAUUUCAAAAUGCAGCUGAUGCAAUAACCGUAGGAUGCGUCCUACAGAAUUUUGGUCCUAAAAAUGAUGUUUCACCGGUGAUAUUUGUGAAAAUAUUUGGGGGAAAAUUUUUGUAAGGUGCGGGGCGAGCUUUGAUAUCGAGAUCGUGUCGGAGAAAUUCGAAGGGAAGAGGCUGCUGGACCGGCAUCGGAUGGUGAAUAAUGCGUUAGCCGAGCAGAUGAAGCACAUCCACGCCCUCUCCAUCAAGAAGGCCCUCACCCCGGUACAGUGGAAGCCCAAAGAGGAACAAGAGGCCCGCAAAGAGUAACACAAAAAGAAUGCGAGGCCUCCCUUGAACAUUCGUUCAUUUGCAUACUGCUCUUCGAACUUUGAAAAGUUAAAAUCGAACUUUACAAAUCUUGUAGUUGUAUCAAUCAACCGUCCUGAUUUCUGUUAAUUUUUCCUUAAUAAUCAUCAAUUACACGAAAGCCAGAUGACUCGAAUAUACCUGUCGUACUGAAUGCUUGGCUUUUAUGCGAUCGAAGAUUGUUAAGAAAGGUUACUAUUAAUUUCCAGACGAGGUGGUCGAUUGAAAGAAUUAUGAAAUUUACGUUGUUUAUUUUUAACUUUUUAUUGUUCGGGAGGCAAUCUCUAAAUGUGCUAAUGUUCAGCAAGUCUCGCAUAUUUUUCCUAAGAUUAAUCAUCUCCAAGCUCUAAAAUGGAAAGGAAAUCUCUAAUUCCAUUUACUUAUCUAAGUUGUUCCCUUAUAACUGUCUGAUAAAAUGACUCAGGUCGUUUGUUUUGGUGCUUUGAGCUGGAAUAAUAUGUUGUUUGCCAUAUUUGGAUUAUGGGGAUUCAUAACACAGAUUCUUGUUGAUAAGUAGUUGAUUGAGCUUUGAAAGGGUUUGGAAUUACGAAUGUGAUCUUUUGGGCUGUUAGUUUUGUUGGUUUUCGUAUUUUGAGUGCACUAGUUGUUCUGCAGUAGGCUGGUAUUGAUGAGGCUAGUGUCUCUUUAACUUGGCGUCUCGAACAAUAUCUCGUCUCAAGAACCAGAAGCUGGGCAUUUCGCGAACAAUAGGACUAGAGCUUCUGUCUCCUGAAAUUUGAUGUUUCUGCCUCCAGCUUGAAUAGAAGCUUGUUUGUGGGAAUUGAAGUCACGGAUUUUUUUUUUUUAACAGCUCUACUUGAAUAGUAUUUCACAGGAUCUGAGUUCGUGCUAAGGAGGUCAUUGAGUUCUCUGCAGUGUACAAAAACUGAUGAAUGUCUUCUUAAGAUGUCCUCAGCUCUCUGUCAGGGAAUGUUUGGUUGAAAAUUUGCAUUAGAGAACUGUAAUUCAUAUGGCAAAUCUCAAAUGGUUGGAUCAAAAAGCUUUGAUUAUUGUGAUCUUUAUCAUCUUAAGAGGGAGAAAGUUUUCUGCAAUGGAACUUUCUUGCUGUGAUUUCCGGCUUUUAUCCAUGUCUAAAUGUUGUUGUUGUUUUUGCGUUUAGCGUGUUUUAAGAACUGUCCUAACAAAUGUGUGGUGUCUUUUAAGAAUUGUUCUGCGGAUACAAUUUCAACUUGGCAUUUCAAUUUUAAUUGUUCAUUUGGUAAAUUUUAACUUGGGUUAGCAAUUGUGCACCUACACUGUAAUUGGAGAUGCGAGUGGUUGAAAAAAAAAAAAAGAAGCAAUAAUUGCUAUAUUUGUUUUGUUUGGUUUUGCAUGGCUGCUAUUGGGUGUUAUAGUUCUAUGCCUACAACCAAUUCGCGCAGUUUCUAAUUGCACUAAUUGGUUAUCUUUUUACUACUUAGUUUGCGCGAGCAAUGCAAUAAGCAUAUUACUCUCUAAAACUCGAAAUAAUUGAUCGCUGAGAAGUGAUGUAGUGUCGAAAUGAUUCAAUAUAGUUUUAUCAGAAACAAGUGAUUCCAGUUAUGCGCAUUUUCAUAACUGCCAGAAUAAUAUGAUACAGUUCACAGCAGAGAGCAUGGAAUCUGGCAUGUUAUGCUCUGCAAUCUGAAGAACAUUGCAGCUUGCUUGCAGAAUAUGUGCAGAGAAACAACAUCAGAAGAUUUCUCAGCCCUUCAGUUAUCUGCUGAUUAAGGCUAUAAUGUUUUAAUGUGUAGAAACAAGAAUGCAAGCAGUAUGAAAGGGAAGGAAAGACAACAGAAAUUGCGAACCCCAAUCCAGUUGAUAAAGCUGGUCCGAUUCCAAAAAUAAUUGGUUUUGAACAAAAAAUUUCAGACAAAUUAUUUUGUCCGGAUAAAAUUCAGGGUCAAGAUUCUGGACAUAAAAUCUCGACAACAGGGUCGGUGACCUAGUUUUGCACUAAUAAUUUAAAUGGUGAGUUAUUAAAGCUAAAUUAUAUUAGAUUAUUUUCUAGUUUUUGAUAGUUUAUUUAGAAAUAUAUGUGGAGUGCUUUUGCUUCUUCGGUGGAGAUUUCUAUUGCAUAGGAGGAAGGAAGACAGAAGAAGUAUUUUAAAAAUUUUUGAACUUUUUAAAAUAUGAAAGCGGGUGCUUUUAAUCACUACAAAAUAUUUUAGUAUUCAUAGUUUAAUAGAAUAAUAUCCUUUCACUUAAGAAAAUGACUUGAAGGAAAUUUACUAUAUACUCAAAAUAUUUGAUCACGCUCUAUUAAAUACUAGAAGUUUCUUGAAUAAAUUAAGGUUUGUUUGAAAAUAAUAUUUGAUCACACUCUAUUAAAUACUAGAAGUUUCUUGAAUAAAGGUUUGUUUGAAAAUAAUAAAGUGGAGAAAAAUAAAGUGGCUAGUUUCAUAGAGCCACAGUUUGCUUAAACUCACAACUAUGCAUCAAUAUUCCAUGUAGUCAAAUUCUUGGAAGUAAGGCACACGUAGGUUGGAUCUUUUCAAGUUCCCUGAGAUUUAAAUAACACCAAGCGCUGGACGGUGCGCGCGCAUUCGGGCUCUGCCGACUCGUCGAUCUCUUCGACAAGUUGAUUUUUUUUGCGGCCGCCGACGACUUCCUCGUCAUCGAUAUCGAUGUCACAGUCGGAGAAUACCAAGGCUUCAAAUAAUGUUUAGACAUCAUAGGCAAUACCACACCAUUGUUAAAUAUUAAUUUAUAUUAUUAGACCAAUCUUUUAAAAAAUGCAACUUUUAUCCAAAUAGUAUAAUUUUCAUCAAAAAGAGCGUAAUAUUCUUCUCAAAUAGUAUAAUUUUUAAUGAAAUUGUGCAAUUUAUGUUAACGAUUCAACUUCAUCAGCUUCUUCUUUCUUUUAUGUUUCUUAGCUUUUUCUGUAGCAGCGAUGAUACAUAAUAACUUUGCAAGAAGGAAAAAAAAAAAAUCUUUACUUUUUUCUUUUUAUUGUUUAUUCUUUUUUUUUCUAUUAUUUGCAUUCUUUUUUCGCUCCUUAGAGAAGCACGGACCCUUCUUCGUCCUCAAUCUUACGGGCGACAGCGAGGAUGGUCAUGAUCUCAUCGUCUCUGUUCACUUCGUCCUCACCUGUACCCGCUCUAAGUCCUCCGACGCUGGCGUCGGCAGAGGUGAAGGCGAAGGCGGAGAAAGAGGAGACGGUGCCAUUCUCGUUACAAUCGUCGAAGGUCGCGGAGACAGUGGAGUGCCAUUCUCGUUACAAUCGCCGAAGGUCGCGGAGACAGUGGAGGAAGCGAUGGAGUCAAAGAGGAAUAAAAAAGGACGAGAAAAAAAAAAAGAUGAGUGUAAAAAAUUCAAAAAAGGCGAGAAGGAAGGUUAACCGUAUGGAAGAAGACGAGUGUGAAAAAAAAGAAAGAAAAAAAAUAAAAAUAUUUUGAUAAAUUUAUUUAAAAUCUAGAUCGAAACUAUAAAAUCUAAAAAUACGGCCUACUUACGUAAAAACUCAAAACCUUUACAAAAUUUGUUGAAUCAUUUAUGUAAAUAAACAGUACCAUACAUUUGAACAUCCGAUUUAAUACAAAUAAAUACCUCCCUAAAUCAAAGAGAUUUGUCGAGUAAAAUAUUAAUGCAUCCGACCAUGUGAGGAAACCGGUCUCCGCGGCAUAAACCCAAACCCAAAACCCUUCCGACUCCCAUCGCGGGGUAACCCGUCUCGUCGUCCCCGAACACCCACCUCAAACUCUUUCCCCUCUCCUCCUCCCUCUCCUCCUCCUCCUCCUCCUCCUCCUCCUCUUCGAUCGCUAGAUCUCUCUUACCUCCACCUCCUCCCAAUGCGAUCGCGAGAUCCUUCUACGCCCCCACGGCUGCGGCGGCGAUACGAUGGAUGUCGUCUUCUCCGGCGACGGUGAGCUUGCUGAGGCUGAACGAUCUGAGGGACAACGAGGGGGCGAGGAAGAAGAAGAAGCGGAAGGGGAGGGGGAUCGGGUCGGGGAAGGGGAAAACGGCCGGGAGAGGGCACAAGGGGCAGAAGGCGAGGGGGACCGCGAAGUUCGGCUUCGAGGGGGGCCAGACCCCGCUCCGGCGCCGCCUCCCGCGCCGCGGCUUCAAGAACCCCUUCAGCCUCACCUUCCAGGUGGAACCCCAUCCGGAUCCUUCCUUUGAUCAUCUCUUUUUCUUUUUUUUUUUUUGUUAGGGUUUAUGUUUAUGCUUUGUUUCGGUCCAUGAUCUCAUGCUAUCUCAUUCUCGCAAAGCAGGAUACUUUGGUUUUUUAGCUAGUCAUAAGAAUUGACAAGUAUGAGUUUAAUUUAUGUUGAUUGUAGGAUAUCUAACUGUUAAAAGAUGAAAAAAUAAUAAUGCGUGGAGAAUUGGAGACUCCUCGAGUAUCCGCCCAUUUUGAAGUGGACCUCUGGCAGCCACCCCUUACCUUUCGAUAUUCCCUUCGGCUUCAGGACUCUGAAUUUGAUGAUAGAAUUACAGAUUAAUUCAAUGGACUCCGUCAUUCAAACCAUGCUACAGCAAACAAAGCUUCGUAACAACUUUAGAGCAAUGUAUAUAGUGAGGAUAAAGUACUGCUAGAAAAGAUUUUUAGUUGUUCCUUUGUUUACUCGUCCGUUGAUGACCAUGUGGCUAUGGAAAGCUAAUAGUUGCCUGGUUUUUGUAUUGCAUUCUUCGAAAACAAUCACUUUUGUGCUUCAAAGUCCCUAAAACCCAAAAGGACUUUGAUGCUCUGUUCCUUCAAUGCCAAAUGAUGGUUUGGAAUGUUUAGCAGAGACGCAAUCCCGUUGCAAUGGACGGAUGGAGUUCCAAUGUACUUUUGGCUUUGGGAGGCUCUUAAGGCAUCAAAAUGGUUGCAUUUUGAGCUCAAACCAGGCCUUAAUCGAACGCAGCUCUAUUUUCUUUGUAUAUAUAUAGCUUUUUAGCUUACAUUAACAUUGCCGACUGAACAUUAAAAGAGAUUCAAACUGCCUCCUAUGGCCUCAUUUGGUUAGUGUUGCCUUUUUUUUGUUUUUACAAAUGAAAAUUCUAUGUGGUUCGAGCCUUAGAUGUGCCAGCGGAUGGACUUCCUACUCUUGUAAUCAUUGGCUAACUUGCAAUGCAACCCAAACGGAUGCCAAAAGACAUCUCCUUCGAGGACACAAAGAAGCAGAAAAAGUUUGAAUGGCUAAGUCACUUCUCAAUCCAACCACGCACUCCAUCACAUAGAAUUUAUGUUUACAUUUUAAAGAAACAAAAAAUGACGACAAUACCAAAUGAGACCUACAAGUUUAUGUAAAUAACGAGGAUGUUUUUAUCUCGUUAUCUUUUUAGCUAAAAUAUGUUAAAAAAUCUUAUCGAUAUGCCUUGCAUUUUUCAUCAAGGAUUCUGGUAAAUUUAUGAACAAGCCAUUGUAAACUUAGUGCUACCAAAACGUUUUCCUUUCAAAAUACCUAUCUUUUUUAUCUUCUUGUUUCCAUUUGUCUGUUGUUGGGGAUCCGACAUGGCUGAGUUAACCUAUUUGUUCAAACUAUGAUUGCACGAGUUUUUAUCUUAAUUGAAAGUGUUGUGUUUACUGUUGUAAGAUAUUCAUUUAGAUGAUAUGCUAUUUUUUAAGAUUUGACUUAUGCUGGAUUCUGUUUCAACUACUUGUCACACCAAAAUUGUGGUGGCAAUUGGAGAUUAGAAAUGUAGUUAUAGCUUAAUUGAUUUUAUAUUCGCUACUGCAUGAUCUAUAUUUUCCGGGUCUCUCACCUGUGCACAAAUUUUAUUAUAGAAACCUGCACCUUCCAUAUAUGUUCAAUCAUUGUAACUUUCCCCUAUCUUGAUCCGUGUAUCUUUAGAUGUUGCAUUGGUUUCACUCUUUUUAACUCGUUCUUAUUUACAUUUAUAUUGUGAACAGCCAGUUGGUCUGGGAAAAAUUGCAAAACUGAUUAAUGCAGGCGAGAUUGAUUCAUCAGAGCUUAUCACGAUGAAGACCCUCAAGGUACUUUCAGGUUAUUGUGCAUUUCUGCAUUUUACAGCUAUUUUGUCUUUUUAACAUGAACUAUGGUAUUUUCAUGAUGUUAGGAUACAGGUGCUAUUGGGAAGCAAAUAAAGGACGGUGUGCGAUUAAUGGGUCGUGGUGCAGAAGAUAUUAAAUGGCCAAUUCACCUUGAGGCAAGCUUCUUUUGUUUGUUAUCGUCUCUAAUUUCCAUCCAAGUCACUUGUUGAUCUUUGUGUGUAUCCUUCUGCUUUUACUUUUCUGUGAAUGUUAAACUGAACAUGCAUUUUUUAUGAUGUUUUAACUAAUAAAAGCAAACAGAAAAGUGUGCUCCAAUAAAAGGGCUUUUGUAUAAAUAUAUGGAAUAGUGCCGUAAUGUUAGCUAGUUAUGAGCUUCAAUUUGUCUUUGUGCUAGCUGCUUCCAGUUUCACCUUGCUUUCUAUGCUUCAUAAUCAUCAGUACUUCAAUUUAUGACCAGGUUGCAAUUUCAUUCUGCAAAAAUAACCAAUAGUUGAAAGUUGACUGUGAUAUACAAACUGAAUUAUUUAGAAACCAGCCAUUGUCAGGUUUUUGCUUCUGCAAAAAUGCAUCAUCUAUCACACAGCACUUGCUUGAUUGGGACUUUUGGCGAAUUGCCGAAGCUCCAUUCCCUCUGACGCUCAUAUCAGCUAUCGACUGCAAGUCUCUUGUUUUGUCUUUAUUGGCCUGCAACGGUGAAGGCAUCUACCAACUUGUUUCUGGUUGAGCCAUGCUCUGCAUGCCGCAACCUAUGGGACCGUGCUCCCAAACAGAUCCUGCGUUUAUUAUACCAUUGCAAGCUGCUUAAGCUCUUAAAAUGGAUUCCAAGGUGGUAACUAUAAAUUCCAUGAUGCAAGAACUAUUGUCUUGCUAGACAACAUUGACAGGAAAUUGGUUCAGCUCUAGAAUUCAAAAUUGUACUAGAAAUAUGCGCAAGCCCGUAACCACCAAUCUACUUAGGCUUGUUAAAAUAGAACACCAAGUCUAUGUACAAAUCUUGAUCAUUUAUUGCCUAUAUCACUCUCUGAGACUCUUGAUAUCACUCCCUUCUGACUUUGUUUAACUUGUCAAGCACGGACAUGCUGCUGUGUUGAAACAUUUUCAACCAGCUUGGUUUUGUAUAUACUGUAUAUUCAAAUUGUCACCAUUUCCCCCAAUUGUACGCAUGUUGAAGCUGCUCAGUCUCUCUCGGUGAACUUCAUGUAGAUAAACAUUUAACAGCCCACUUGUAUUUUUAUUCAAACAAAAUCUAAAUAGCUGAUCUAAAUUUGUCUUCAACUUUAGUUUAAGGCUGAAAAUAGAGAAAACCCACUAGAAAUAUGUGAUUUGCAUCAUAUCUACGCUCGAUAGUCGGAGCGUAACUGAUUGCCCCUCAAUUUAUUGUAAGGUCCUGCAAACUUUUCCCAUCUACAGAAGGAAGUGCAAAUCACAGUUUUAACAAUGGGGUUGAUUUUAGCUCUUCAUUUCCUACUGCACUCUUCCGUGCAAAGAGAUCCAAAAUGAUUAUUGUGCUAAUUAUAGUGUCCCAAUAAUCUUUUUCUUGUUUUGCUAUUACAUUUUUGUGAUGACUUCCUUUCCUGUGCGGUCCAUGACUUCUACUGAACUAAUCAUCUCGUGUUACAUUUCUACCUCAAUGGUGUGUAGGUAUCAAGGGUCACAGUUAGGGCAAAAGCAGCAGUAGAAGCAGCCGGUGGGUCGGUGAGGAAGGUCUACUACAACAAGCUUGGAUUUAGGGCACUUCUCAAGCCUGAGUGGUUCGCGAAGAAGGGGCGGCUUUUGCCUAAAGCAGCGAGGCCUCCACCAAAGCAGCGCGAUAAGGUCGAUAGCAUUGGCCGCCUCCCCGCCCCUACAAAACCGAUACCUUUUACACCUGAAGAAGAGAAAGAGGCCGCAGCAGCUAAGGUGGCUGCAUGAAACUGAAAAUGUUAACUUUGUUUCAUUCUGAUCGGAAUUUUGCUCGAUGCUUUUGGGAGGGCAAAAAUGGGCUUCACUUGUACUUCUGUAAACAAAAGCAUGUUGGGUUUUAUUUAUUGGAUCGGAUUCAAUCUGGUCAUCUGGAAGAAGAAUUUAUUGUUGCAGUGCCAAUUUUCUCUUUCUAUUUUUUUGUUAAUUUCCAUUUGAUACAAUAGAGAGUUGAACUGAGAUGAUCUGAUAAAAGAAAAGAUGCAUGAUAUGGAAGCAUGCUCAUGUUUUCAUGAUUCUAUGUAUAUGUUUGGUGUAUUCUGGGUCACGAAAGUUGUUGAAUAAAAACGUUGAUUCAAAGAACUAGACCAUGCAAUUUUACAUGUACACAUAUUUUCUUGUACUAAGGUGGAACGCGAACUUACACACCAGCAUCAACCAGUUUAUACUUUAGGGAGGAAAAAAAGAAAAAAAAAGAAAAACAAAAGAAAAUAACUGUGUUUAAUGCAACAGUACACGCAUGCCUAUUACAUUUUCAUUGUGCUGUUUCUUCUCUAUGUUUGGUUCAAAGGAUAGAGGAAGAAUAAGGAAUUUAUUCCUCUUAUUCUUCCAAAUGGUGUCAAAUAACGCCAAGAAUUACUAUUCUCCUCUUAACGGAUUAUUCCGAAAUAAUCCGUUAAGAGGGGAGAAUAGUAGUUCCACCUAUUGGGUGGAACAAGCUAUUCUCUACUUUAUUCCUCUACUAAUUAAAUUAUAAAUAAUUAUAAAUUAUAAUUAAUUAAUGCAUUUAAAUUUUUUAAUAAUUGACUAAUUAAUUAUUUAAGUUAUUAAAUUAAUAAAUAUUUAAAUAAUAAUCUAUUUAUAAUUUAUUAUUAUUUAUCUAAUUAAAUAGUUAGCCAUAUAUUCAAUUAUUUACUAAUAUUUAUAUUAUUUAAAUAAUUAGUAUUUUAAUUUAUAUAAUUAAUAUAUUAACUAAAAAAAUAAAUGAUUAAAUAAUUAAUUCUAUUAACAUGUUGACUUAUUUUUUAUAGUUAUUUUCUAAUUAAUGUCAUCUUUGUCAUCUCAUAUCGUAAUUUUAAUUAAUUUAUAAUGUAAUUUUGAUUAAUUUAUUUAUUAACUUAUUAAAAUAUUAUUUACUAAUACUUAGGUGCUUAAUAUUUAGAUAAAUUAGUUUUAUUUUCAAUCAUAAUUACUCUUAUCCCUACUAUUCCAACCCAAUCAACCAAACGUAAUUUUUCUUAUUCCUCUAAAAAUCUCGAUUCUCGUCCAAACACAAAAUUGAACUAAUUCCUACUCAUCACAAAAGUUACACCUAUCCCAUGAAUAAACAAAAAUUGGUUGUUCUCGAACCAAACGGUAUCUUAGGGAAUUGGUAUAGAGGAACUGGCAUAACAGAGCUAGUUUUGCUAUCAAUGGCACAAAAGUCAUAAUUUCUGUUAAAAUAUAGUGCAAUCUGCCGUGGCAAUAUGCAAUAGUGGAAGUGUGGAACCAAUACUUUUAACAUCGAUUUCUUUCCCUUCUUGAUAGGGUAAUGCUGUUUAAUCAAAAAGUGAACAGUUAGGGAGGCUGUCCGCUCCAUUAGGGCCCUUGGAUUUGUGGUUUUUGGUCUGGAAUGUUGUAGAUUGGAGAGCCGAAAAUAUAUAUAUUCGGGUCUUCAAUUUCGGAGCGAACAUCAUUACUCUACAAUGAAACAGCAUGUUAAAUUCUAGCAACAUAUAUUGUAUCUGCUCCAGUAGUAAUACUGAACUAGUUCUUCGAUCAUCGAUUUCCUUUCGUUCUUUGUAGGAUAAUGCUGUUCAGUCGGAAAUGGGAGAGCCGAAAAGGCUUUCCAAUUCCGGGCCCUUGUAUUGCGGGUUUCAGCCUCGGCAAUCCAAGAGUCCCCCAUAAAUUGGAGAGUCCAAUGUAUUUAGCUCUCCAAUUUCGGGGCGUACAGCGGUACCCUGCAAAAGAAACAGCAUGAAGGAGCUGAUUGAAGUCGGUAUUUAAUGUCUCUUGCAUCAAAGAAAACUUGUUUCUUAUUAUGCCUUUCUAUUAUCUUAAGGCAGUAUAAACUGGAUUGAUAUUAAUAUUCACUAGUUAAGGACUCGCGCGAUGUUGCGGACGUAAUGCGACGGGAAGACAAUAUUAUUUGUCUUAAAAAUUAAAGAAUAAAAUUAAAAUAAAUUUCUUUCUAAAAAUAUUUAAACCUAAUAAGUAAAAUAAAUAAAUCAGUUUAAAAUAAAACAAAAGCUUAUUACAGUAUUAAAAAAAGAUGAAUAAUAAUUUUCUAUUAUCAUCAAGGUAGAAUUUAUAAAUAAAAAAAUAUCGCGAUGAGUCAGUUACAAUAUAUUUUUUGUGAUCCCACCGGAGGACGCAGAAGUAUAUUCCUAUAUGCUUUUAUCCCAACUCUAUGUUAUCUAAUAGUGUUAAAUAUGCCUCAAUACCAGCCUUAUAUUAGAUAGUUUUAUCUUGUUAAAAUUAAAAUUUAUGCGAUAAAAUUUUAUACUUGGUGUAGAUAAAAAGAAAAAAAUGUUGAGAGAAAAAAAUAAAAAAAGAAAAGGUGUAGGGUGUGUGAGAGAGUGAGAGAGAGGGUGAAAAAAAUAGUGGGACCCAUCGAAGCGCCCCGACAAACGCGGAGAGGCUUCGAUUGCGUUGCCCUUUCAUUAUAUAAUAUAAUAUAAUAUAUAGAUAUAGAUAUAAACAUACCUUGUGUUGCUAAACAUUUUUUUCCACAUUAAAUAUAUCUUGUUCAAAAUAGUAAGACAUUUUUUUAUCGUUUUAAACAAAGGCAUCGAAAUAUAAACAUAGAGCAAGUAUAGAUUUUAAUUAAGCGAGUAAUGGAAAAUAAAAUGCAUGUAACAUAAAGAGAUGAAAAGGUUGUAAUUAAUUAGUUACAUUAUUAAACUGUUUUAAAAAUUUAUCGAUGAAGUCAGCAAAAAUUUAAGAAAGAUUAAAUUAAGGAAACUCUGCACAAAAUUUUGAUAACUGAUCAUUAGUUUAUUUUAAUUAAGUGAGUCAGGCAAGAAGAAACCAAAAGAAUAUAAUUAAUUCGUUACACAUUUAUUUAUUUUUUAUUUAAGUUUAUCGUUCUAGUACUGAAAGAAACAUACUUGUUUAGCCAAAAAUAUUAAUUUAUGUAUUUUUAUACCAUCAAGAAGUACACUUUAUGAGAGUAUACAUCAACAUAGUUUUACCUUACCUUACGAAAGUAGAAGACAUGGACCCCAAAUUAUUCUAGAAAAAAUACAUGGAUAUAACUGUCUUGAUCUAUAUCAUUUUGGAUCCUCCCCACAAAAUUAGGAGAUAAAGCCAAGAAAAAUUACUCCUCCUUAUUAAAGUAAAAUUAAAGUAAAUGGGCCCCAAUAACUCUACUAGAAGUUAUAAUAAGUUAUAAGUGUAUAUAUAUAUAGUAAGUUGGAGAAGAUUUUAUAUCAUGGUUGAUGUUGAAGGAUAAGCAGGUAGAGACAAAGUUAAAGGUUCAUGCAUCCUAUGUUUGAUGUUAAACAGCAUUGCUAUAUAUAGACAAACUUGGGGAGGAUGCAUGCAUCGGAAUUAUAAGAAAGAAAAGAAAAGGAAAACAAAUAUUCUAUAUACUAUAGGAAAUCUUAUAUGAGAAAAGUUUAUCUUGUGGAAAAUUAUAGUUCAGUCCUCAAUUGUUUGUUUUGUGACAUUUUAUGUUUAGAUAGAUUUGAAUUUUCAAACCAGUAGCACAUUAAUAAAUUAAGUAAACUAAAAAUUCCAUUGUUAGUGGUUAAGUAAAUUAUUUUUCUGGGACAAUUUAAUAAUUUCUGAGCUUUCAUGAUUUCUAGGUCCGUUAUGUUGAAUUAUUGGAAUGAAUUCUAACAACCCAUGGAUAAAUAUAAAUAUUUUCCAAAUAUGAAAGUAAUAUGGUAGUAUUACAAUUAGCCAUAAAAUUAGCUAAUCCAAUUUAGUUAUAUAAAUAUUGGGCACAAAAUUAAGGUACUUAAUUCACACCAUGGCAAAUUUUCUUAGACUUGGAAGAUGAAAUGUAGUAAAUAUAUGUUGCUAAAUUACACUGCAGGGCCUUAAAUUAGAAAUUUCAAUACAAUUCGUUGAUCAAAUUUUAAUUUACCAUAUUUCCUAGGUUGGUUUUGUAAACUAUUAUAGCAUGGCAGAUAACUACUUAAGGCAUAUAAUUGCAGACAGUUGUGUAAUUAUUAAUAUUUGAUGAAAAAAUAUAAAAGUGAUGCAAAUCGCUUGUAUGUUUUAUGAUAGAACUUCUCUAUCUCUUUUUUAAAAUUCUUCUUUACCAAAUUCUUUUCCAUAAUUUCUAUUCUCCACUACAUCCCACAAAUCUUGGGAUUCUAAAAAACAUCGAAUGAUAAUUUUCCAUCGUUUAAAGUUCGUUCCAUCGAACUUUGGUAAAUUAGGUUGAAUAAACCAAUCUAAAUCCAUAACAAAAACUUGAUAACCUAAAAAAUAAGUUUCAGAUUUGCACCUUUUUAUUUGGAUGACGUCCCUAGUUCAUCGAAAUCUCGCCGAAUUUUCUGUACUUCGGCUUGCUUGCCUAGUCCUCCUGGCUAUCUCGUCAAGUCUUCUUGGAUCUCUUCACAGGCUCUCCUCGCUCUCUUUUCGUCAAGCAUCACAACCACCUGCUGUUGUGUAUUGUGCGGAGGCCAACUUCUUCAAAGCAAUUCUUUCGCUUUGAUUUCACCUGAACGUCACCUUCAAUCUGCUACGAAUCGCUUAACUUUGACGUAGCUAUCCGGUAUAUUGGAUCUAUAUUCUUUUCGAAUAUGCUGUCAUCUGGUUUAUAAGUUGCAUGACACUUUCCGGCUCUGAUACUAAUUGUUGGAAGCGUGAUUUUCUCCGAAACCACUUAUCGGAACCGGUAUUUGUGCUAAUAUCGAUUAUAUAAUCCAAGAUUUAAAAUAGAACAAAAUAAUAUGAAGAAGAGAUAUUGGAUGAGAAAGAAGAUAACUAAAAUAAUAAGCAAUUAAUUACAUUCUGGACAACACCCUCAGCCAUGUCUAUUAUGGCUUAUUCAUCUAAUUAACCCAUGCCUAACUAUAUAUAGCCAUCAAAUCAUAACAGAUGAUAAAUCUAACUUUAACUUUGGAUAACUACAAAUCUUAACCAUAAUCAAAUAAAAGAUUUAAACUUAUCUAUAACUAUAUUUUAAUUAAGUUUGGAUUAUUAUUUUCAACACAUCUGCAUAGGGCCAGCCAGUCAACCCAGAGAGCCAUAUGUUCUAUCCCAACAAAGAAUAGGCGAAACGAGCAACAUUGCCAAACACUCCCAACAGCAGAUUACAAAUGAGUCCGGAGUACAUCCAACUCAUAACUUCAAUUUCUUUUAUAAGGGGUACUACAUAAAAUUUUUGUCAAGAAAAAAAAACACGCUCAACCAAGGACUAUUAGUAAUAUAACCUUUUGAGUUCGGAGUGUUAAAUCGGUGCUCUGGAUUCAAAGAGCCCUUCUAAGAUAGAACAGUAACCCCACCUACUGAAAAGAGGAUUUAAAAAUUAUGAUACUUUCCCUAAGGACCUCCUGGUCGAAGGCGAUGUUGUGGACUUAAUGGCAACAUGCAGAACAUGGUGACAAAUGGUCGGCCUAAUAGCUGCUCUUAAACUCAGAAGAUAGGAAAGAUAAGACCUACAGAGCAAAACCGUGCUCCAUCAAAUUUCGGCUUUCCCCAUUCACACCCUUCUAUAAAGGACUUGAAUGAACACGGCAGGAGCCAGUGAUAGCUGCGUUCCUGUGACGUGCAUUGUAAGAUUGUAUCAUAACAUUGAAUUAGGUAACAACACUUACGGCCAGCCUUAGUACUGUAACCUAAAGGCAGAGGGCCACACGCAGAGAAAAUCAAAGGGCCGAGGGCGGCAGAAUUAGUACUGCAACCUUGUGGCCGAGGGCUCUGCACACAGCAGCAGAAGCAGCACUAUGAAGCCACAAUGGCAGCAUAAAUGUGAUCACCCUCCAUACAUACAGCAACUCAUAAAAGCAGCUGCAUUUGGAAAAACACAUUCAUAGAGCAUUACCAGAUUAGGCCUAAUAUGGUCAAGGCUCCCAAGCAGAGCAGCCCCGUAUCCAGCAAAAUUGGAUGAUAACUAGCAGGUCAAAGUACACUAGGCACCACAGAAGAUUAUCAAUCCCUAUCCUGUUAUGACAUUGCCAUUGCAAAAAUUCCUAAGGAUGAGACAACUACACCCAAAUGAAACUGCUCAAAUAUAAUGGAUCACAUAUUAUGAACUACGAAAUCACACGCAAACAAGCUUCACUUAUGAGGUUUACGCCCUAAAGAGGGAGUAAAACACGAGCACAAAAAACAAAACAUCAGCAAUACACAAGUAUACCAUCUAACAUCUCGUUAACGUCAUCUUAGCUGCAGUACACAAAUAUACACGAACACCAUCCAGACAACCAAGCCAUAUAUCAAAGCAUACUUUCUCAUACAUCCUAUAUAUUGACAUAACACUAGAAACGCCAAACCAACGCCGCACGUUCUACUACCACUAUCGAUCCAGAGAUAGGAAGUAAAACCGCAUGAAACCAAACAAAAUGGCUCAACAAACCUAUAAAAGGCAACCGAGACAAGAAGAACAGAGGGUGAGAGAGAGUUACCACAACCUCUCCAAUUUUCCCUCUGUGACAGCAGCUGCCUCUGAAAAUACCUGUAGUGCUUUUUUAUGCAAACCUAAAGUUCAAGCAUAUUUACUUAUAUACUUCUUUCAGGAGCCAAAUCUCAACCUCACAAAGCUUACAUCACUAGAAAAUACUUGAAAAGCCGCAAGAACAAACUAGAAACAGCCAGCUAAUGCAUGAAGCUUUUUGUUUAGAAGCACUUUCUGUGGACGAUUGCAGGGCCAGAUUCAUCGUACUCAGCCUUUGAGAUCCACAUCUGUCAUACAAAGGUACCGUCGUUAGAAAAAGGUGGUUAAGGGACACCAAAGAGAUGAAAGAUACUGUUGUACAAAGAAAAUGAUUUAUGCAAAAGAGCAAAAAUUUGGUUAAGGGACACCAAAGAGAGGAAUUUACUCCCCAUCUUAGUACUCUAUGAAUGCACCAAAAAGUUCACUCAAAAAGCUAUUGAAAUCAAAUCAGUUAGUCCAGAAUACACACAAAAACUAUAACUAAAACCUUGAAUUUCAUAGAACGGUACUUUUCUUAUCAUAGAUGGUAAUUUCAUCUAAGAGGGAUUUCUCGUACUCACAUAACUCGAAGUGCAGAAAAGAAAGUUCGAUAUUUGACGACGGGGUGGAAGGUAUGUAAGAUUGAGCAUUUACCUGUUGGAACGUGCUGAGAGAAGCAAGAAUAGAACCACCAAUCCAGACACUGUAUUUCCUCUCGGGAGGUGCGACCACCUUAAUCUUCAUGCUGCUGGGCGCAAGUGCCGUGAUCUCCUUGCUCAUCCGAUCAGCAAUACCAGGGAACAUGGUCGAUCCUCCACUAAGCACAAUAUUCCCAUACAGAUCCUUCCUGAUAUCGACAUCGCACUUCAUGAUAGAAUUGUACGUGGUCUCAUGAAUUCCUGCUGCUUCCAUACCAAUUAAAGAAGGCUGGAAAAGCACUUCGGGGCACCUGAACCUCUCAGAUCCUACAACCAGGGGGAGAGCCAAAUUUUUUGUUAUUAGUGGUGGCCAUUGAUUUCAGAGAUAAGCAUUAGUAAUCAAAUCUGAUAAAUUGAGAAAAUCUUCAAGUAGUAUGCGUAUCAUAUUUGUCCAUUUCAUGUGCUUGUAAAGAACCUAAGAGACUUCUGAGGACAAAGGAUUUUCAAAUCUGAUAAGAACUAGAGAAACUGUGUUGAAAGCGGGGGACAUAUCAACAUCAAUAUUUUGAAUAACAAGGAACUGCGUAAUAAAUUUUGGGUAAAAUGCAGAUUACUUCCAAGAUAUAUCACAAGACACUUCAACAACCUCGUGCAAUCAAAACAUCCGAACAAUUCACUUUGGUUUAUUAGAAAAUCCGGUGCUUUAGUCCUUAUACAGUGGAUAAAACGUUAAGAGAUUUAUAAAUCUAGGGCAUUACUGGAUGGUUUUGAUUAUCGAAGGGGGUGAAGCGCAAACUACAAUAUAUUGAGCAGAUGAUGGCAUUUUACCCUUUUUUUUUUAAAUGUAUCAAGGUCAAUGUUGCAUGAUCCUACAGUAAAUUUCUGGAUUCAAGAUCAGAGUUGCUGGAUCCUUUAAUAAAUUUCUGGUUUCUAGGAGAGCUCCAUUCAUACCUAUAGUGAUGACCUGGCCAUCAGGUAAUUCAUAAGUUUUUUCAACUGAAGAACUGCUCUUAGCAGUCUCCAACUCCUGCUCAAAAUCUAAGGCAACGUAGGCUAGCUUCUCCUUCAUGUCUCUGACAAUUUCCCGCUCAGCAGUGGUGGUGAAGGAGUAGCCUCUCUCAGUGAGGAUCUUCAUCAAGAAGUCGGUGAGGUCACGUCCGGCAAGGUCGAGCCGAAGAAUAGCGUGGGGGAGGGCAUAUCCCUCGUAUAUCGGGACGGUGUGGGUCACACCAUCACCAGAAUCAAGCACGAUACCUGUACAAAAUUGAUUUAGAGUUAUUACCAAUUCACAAGUUUUGAUUAAGAACUUAGGGCUAAUGCACAUCUGUUAUAGCAAUCAAUUCUAACAGAAAAUUAGACAAGCAUAAAUUCCCGAAGCUUUUCUAUAGUCAAGAACUAAAAUUUUAUACCCCAAAAGCAGAAGGUCCAAUUUGGAGCUUCUAUAUUCGCUGCAGAGAAGCUAUUGAGGGAAGCUGUUUUCAGUGAGUCUCCUAAGAGCACUACUCAAGCCAGCCUUCCCGCUCAGAGUUUCAAUGUUCACAACUUAACCCAUGAAGUUCAUCCCAUAUAGCAAUCAAGUCUUUCCGUCAAUCUAUCAUCCAAAAGACCAUCACACUAAUAACGUGGUUGGAUUUCAAUGCUAAAACAGCAUAAAAAACUCAGAUUUUUUUUUAUGGAAACUAGCAAAAGGGCGUAAUUGGGAUACAAGAUAAGCUUCAGGAAUUACAUUGCUGAAAUAGAAUACAGACAGAAGUUUAAUCAGGUACAGACUUCAAGGACUAUUUGAAAGGCAACAAUUUCGAGAGAGCAUUCAUUUACUAAAGCACACUUUGUAGUGAGUAUGUAAACUUUACAAACAUAAAUUUCACAAACCCAUCAUUAUUUUCUGUUUCCAAAGUCCCCUCGAGUAUUAUUAUAAUUUAAUGGUUUCCAUCAAAAGUCACAGAAUAUACCAUCAAGUGAGAAAAUAUUUCUAAAUAGUUAGGAAUACUGCUAACUACUGAUAGAUAGGAACUGACUCGAAUAUAAAGCUCUUCGUUUUUGCCAAUUUGUAGUUGAACAAGAAAAUUAUAUUUGCUCAGCAAUUCAAUACAUACCAGUAGUACGGCCACUGGCAUAGAGGGAAAGGACGGCCUGGAUAGCAACGUACAUUGCAGGCACAUUGAACGUCUCAAACAUGAUCUGGGUCAUCUUCUCCCUAUUCGCCUUUGGGUUGAGAGGAGCUUCAGUCAGCAGUAUAGGAUGUUCCUCAGGAGCAACACGGAGCUCAUUGUAGAAGGUAUGGUGCCAGAUCUUCUCCAUGUCAUCCCAGUUGGUGACAAUACCGUGCUCAAUUGGAUACUUCAAGGUGAGAAUACCUCUCUUGGAUUGAGCUUCAUCACCCACAUAGGCAUCCUUCUGGCCCAUACCAACCAUAACACCAGUAUGCCGGGGCCGGCCAACAAUGCUGGGAAACACUGCCCUAGGUGCAUCAUCACCAGCAAAUCCAGCCUGCGAGAAUGAAUGGAGAGUAAUUCAGGAUGCAAAAUGUAGAAAUACAGAACAAUCCUUUUUCCCCCUUGUUUUUUUUUAUUUGAAGAAAAACUGAGGCUGUCUGGAUGAUAUGUCAACCUUCACCAUUCCAGUUCCAUUGUCACAGACGAGUGGCUGAAUAUCCUCAGCAUCAGCCAUUUUUUAUGUUUCUGUCAUAUGAAUAGAAAGACAAACGAGAAGAAAGACAAACAUAUUAUAAUCAAGUAAACCAACUUUACUGCUAUGUUGAGAAAAUGCAUUUCAAACAUAUUCAUCAUACCCAGCAGGAAAGGAUGAGAAUCACAUCAGUAUCUGAUAAUCAAAUUUAUUUAUUCCGACUAAUAGCAGGGUAUCUCUCUAUAUGAUUUCCAGAUUCAUUAUUAUCCUCGAUUUUCAGCCACAGAAAUCAAUUGCCAACCAUACCUUCCCUCUCAAAAUAAAUGAAAUAAUACUAGAUAAUUUUGCAUGAUGUGAGACACGAACUUUUUUCAAGGAAUACUGAAUGCUUGACAAUCUAUCUUUAACAAAAUUACAGUUAUUGGCCUAUUUCAAGUAGCAAGAAAGACACUAACAACAGUUAAACUUUCAGUAAGAACUAGAAGUGAACAGAUGUGUUAAGAUGCAAGAAAUUUUUACGAGGCCUACUGCAUAGCUAAAUGAACUUAAUAGCUUAAGUGACAAAAUCAUAUAAUAUUUGCACACGAACUAACAAAAUUCAGAAGGGAAAAAAAAAACAUGAUAUCAUAAACUGAUCAAUCUUCUAGAGGUGCUUCAUACUAAGAAAUUCACAAAUGCAGGUAGUUUGAGCAAGUAAAGAAAGGGAAUUAAAAAGAUCCAAAUGGGACCAACUAACAAAAUAGCAAGAGAACACAGCAUGUAAAGGACAAGACUAGCAAAUAGCAAUCCUUGAAGACCUUCAAAGCAAAUCCAGAAAGACCAUCAUUAAUAUCCCAGAUAUAAUUGCCGUACAUGUUUCGGGCAAAUAAUUGUAAAUUCCCUUCUACAGCUCACAAGCAUAGUAAUAAUUAUUUGAGAUCAAAGAAAGAUCACAGAUGAUAAUCGAGCUCGGAAAGUUCUCACCUGAACUAAUAUAAAUCAAAUCUCAGACAACUUUAUCCAAUAAAACUCUACCCCACAGAAUAAUCUACAAAUCAAAACUAGAAGAUCAAAGAUGACAAUCAAACUCAUUAGAUUUUGAGCCAAACAAUAUGCAUCAAAUUUUAUAACAACUUUAGCUACAAAAACCCCAAACAACACGCACCAAUCUACUAAUUAAACCUGAAUAUCACAGAUCACAAUUAAACUCAGCAGAUUUUGAGCUGAAAUAUAGAUCAAUUUUUUUCAGAACUUAACAGAUUGAUUGAUCAAAAGUGGAAGAUCAUAAAUGAUGACCACACACCGAAGAUUUUUUAUCCAAAAUAAAUAAAUCAAAUUCUAUAGCAACUUCAUCUUACUUUCAAAUAAAUAUAUACUGACAUCAUCUUCUAAAACCCUAACCUCCUGCACCGAUCUACUCAUCAAAACUUGAAGAUCAUGGAUGAUGAUCAAACUAAGAAGAUUUUGAGCAAACCUUAAUUCAAUAACAACUUUUAAAAUGCUAUAACCCUAGCCUCACACACCGAUCUACUAGUAAAAACUAAAAGAUCACAAAUAAUCAAAUUCUAUGACAACUUUACGGACUAAAACCCUAAACUUCGCGCACCGAUCUUUAAUUAUCAAACUCAGAAUAUUUUGAUCCAAACAAUAUAAAUCAAAUUCUAUAACAAGCUUUACCUCCUAAAACCCUAAACCCCACGCGCCGAUCAACCAAUCAAAACUAAAAGAUCACACAAAAUGAUCAAACUAGCAAGAUUUUGACCCAAACUAUGCAAGUCAAAUUCUUCAACAACUUUAUCUACUAAAACCCUAACCUCGCGCACCGAUCUAUUAAUCAACUAAUAAAAACUUCAAAAUCUAUGCAUCUACUCAGAAUUAAGACCAUUUUUUAGCAAAAAUCAACACAUCGGAUGAUUCAGAGAUCGGCUAAAGAAAGUGCUUCGCCGAUACCGCUGUAGAGAAGACGAGAUCAGAGAUGAAUCGCCUCCGCUUCCUCCGCUCGUCGAAGCCAAGAGAAAGAACGAGAAGAGGAGAGAGAGAGAGAGAGAGAGAGAGAGAGAGAGAGCGUGUAAAGGGCAAUGGUGUCGUGCUCUUAAAUAGUAGGCGUACUAAAUUCCAACUCUAGGCAUACUUUUCGUAGGUCAAAAUGUAGUGAGACUCCUCAACUACAUCAUAUUUUGAAAUCCGUACCUCAACUUCAUUUUUUUGUUAACAAAGAAUUAGUUUGGUAUUGAGAUGAAUCUAACGCUAUUAGGUAGAAUGGAGUUGAAAAAAAAUAUAAAGGAAUAUACUUCUACGUUCUUCGAUGAGACUGUAGAAAAUAUAUCGUAACCGACUAACCGCAAUAUGCUGAACGCAGUAUCACGUAGGAAACAAACAUGGUAUUUUCUCAUCGUCUUUUCUCAACGCAUAUAAUGCAACCUUCCCGUAAUCCCAAACAAAGCCAAAAUAAUACGUUAAUUAAACCGUCUUAAAUUUGUCUCAAUCGAUCACUCGAAAUUAUUCAAAUUUUGAAAUAUAAAUUUUAUUUUUUUCAUUAUUAACAAAAAAAAUAAAAAGAAACUAAAAUUACUGUUGUAAAAUAUAAUAUUUAUAAAUAAGUCAUAAAAAUUAAAAAUUUAUAUGACCUUUUUAAAGAAUUUUUAGAGGUUUACAUAACUAAAUAUAAUCAGAGCAAAGCUAAAUAUAAUACUUAAUAACUAGGGUGGAUUUGAUAACUUUUUUUUUGACAUUGAAUGAACUUUCUUUUUUUAGUACAAUGCAUCCAAACUGAAUUAUUAUUAUUUUUCAACAGACAAAUUUGUUACUAUUAAAUAGAAUUAUCAAUUUAAAAAAAUUAAAUUAAGUAAAAAAAAUAAAAAUUAGUCAAUUAAACAUUGCGAAGUUAAGGAUUCAAUUCUGCAAAUAGCAUUUUCUACUGCUUCCUACGUAUAAAUCCACGCCGAGACGAGUCAUCUAGCAAUUAGGCACGUGGCAUGAAACAGUUGGGCCCGCGUCACACGUGUCAUGUUUCUGUGGUUCGUGAAGGGUGUUUCGUGUUCUAGAACGAGUAUGUACGUAAACUUACCGUGAGAAGGAAUCGUCUCGUAUCACGAGGGAGGGAAAGAAAAAAAAAAAAAAACAAAAAAGUUGAAGUGGGGGCCAGCAGAGUGACCUGGGUGGGUCCUCCUACGUGGAAUCUGGACCGUAGGAUGGGAUUUGGACGGUGGGUCAAACGGCGGGCGAAACUUUCGGCGGUUGCGGGGGGCCGGGGGGCGGUGUUGCCACGUCAUCAGGUGGCGUGACGCGGACGUGCGGGAGUCCGCAUAGGGGUAGAGAAGGGGCGCGGCCGCACGCCAACCAACAACAGCUGGCGACCAUUAGAGCGAGCACGAGCUUAGGAGACAAUUUGGGAGUAAUUGUGAUAUUUUUGAAGGGAUCAUCUGAAAAAUGCUAUCUUUGCAAGUUACAACCAACUCAUCUAAUGGGUGGGAGUGAAUCACUAGUCACAUUACAUGACUACUAAAAUCAUCUCAUCCAUUAAAUGAGUGGUAUAUAACUCAUUUUUCAAUAUUAGAGAAACAUAUGUAGAAUUUGGUUAUUUUGUAGUAUUAAUAGUAUCAAGCGUUUUCUGUUAUUGGGUUUCGGCCUUUGGAUAAAAAAAUACGCAAUUUGAAUGAUAAUGAUUUUCUAGGAUUGAGUGGGUGGUUAGUUGAAUAGUAUGAUAUGACGGGUGAAAAUUGUCAAAAGAAUAGAUUUGACGACGAAAAACCCGAUAGCACCAAGUCAUUGGUACUAGCGAUAGUAUAGCAGUCGAACUCAACAUAUGUAUAUUAGGGUUAAUUUCGUACAGGUCUCUAUAAAUAUAGUGAAUUGUAAAUAUAUUCUUACAAAAUUUAAUUUCCAUAUAUUGUCCCUGCAAAAGCCCUGAUGUUUUCAAAUAUAUCCCUGCCGUUAGGAUUCCUUAGAAAAAAUUAAUUAAUUAUAGGUAAAAUACUUAACCCUAGUUAGUUAAUGAGAUGAAUUGACCUUUUUACCCUUCUUUAAUUAAUAGUUGGAACUUUUGGAUGGACAUAUUUAUGAUGCCAAAAGGGUCAUUUCGCUUACAGCAUUUUAAUGAAAACAAACCAAAAUAACAUAUUUUAACACAUUAGGAAGUUUAGAGUGAUAACAUAUAAAAGUUGAAAUUUAUAGGGAUGUAUUUGUAAUUCACUAUAUUUGUAGAGACCUGUAUAAAAUUAACCUUAUAUAUUAUUAUAGAGAAAUAUUUUGCCAGGAUUAAAGGCUUACUUGUUAUUUUUCUAUUAAAACUUAGUUUAGUAUUAAGGUUUAUCUAGCAACGCUAUUGAAUAAAAUAGAGUUGGGGUAAAAACAUACAGUGAUAUGAUUCUGCGUUCUCCGAUGGGACUGCAAAAAAUAUAUCGUAACCGACUUAUCGCGAUAUGCGGAAUGCAAUAUUACAUACGGAAAACAAAUAUAAUAUUUUUUAUCGUACUUUCUCACCGCACGUAACGUAAUCUCCCCGCAAUUUCAAACGAAGUCUAAUUCUCUUGGUUACUAUAACUAUUGUUAAUGAAAUGACAGAGCUUCGCUGCAGAAAUUUUUUUUUGAUAGUAGAUUAUUACAUUAUAAUUAUGAGAUAUCUUAAUGUAUACAUUUUAAUAAAUUUUUAUAUUUAAUUAUUUUUCAGCAUUAUUUCUUUAGCUUAUUUUUUAAUUCAAUCAUAUAAUAAAAUUAUUAUGUAUACUAAAUAUAUAUAUAAUUAUUUAAAAAUCAAUUUGAAUCAGCCCGCUCGACUAGACCGAAUGUGGCCCAGUCUAUUUAGCGGUUUUAAUAUUAGACGUAACCCACCUCACAAAUAUAUACUAUAAAUUAAUAUUAAUAUACUCUUCAUUCUAAAAUAAAAGUAUUAAAAUAUUAGAAAUCUUAAUUGGAUGGAUAAAUUUUCUUCGUCGUGACAUUUGAGAGUUUUUUUUUCUUUAUUAGAGUAGGCCAAUUUGCAUAAAAAAUCCACUUAUUUUGGACUUUUGCAAAAUUGGGCCAUCUUUUUCGUUUUUUCAGAUUCGGUCCACUUUUUCAGCAAACUGACCAAAAUACCCUUUUUACUUUUUCUCUUUCCUCUUUCUCUCUCCUCUUCGUUUCUCUCGUUCUUUUUUUUUCUCGCCGGCAGAGCGGAGGCGGAAACGGUCCGUCUCGCCUCUCACCCUCAUUCUCUAGCCCUCGNGCUCUCUAAAUGUUAAAAAAUUGAAGUUAAGGGGGUCUAUUUCAAAAUGACCUAUAGGUGAAGGGUUUCCACUUAUUUUAUCCACCAAUAAUUAGUGUUAGAAAUUAGAAGGGUAUUCAUGAAAUUACUCCUCUAUUAUUUGUUAUCAAAGUAACAACCCAACCAACUUUUUAAGGGGUAAAUUAGUCAUUUUAUAACUUUACCCUAACGUCAGUUAGAAUAAAAGGUAAUUGUGAUAAUUUUCUACAUUUGGAGGGGUAUAUAUGAUAUUUUUAAUUUUAUAGGGGUAUUUGCGAUAUUUACAUGUUUAAGAGGGCUAGUGAUGAAAUUGACCCUAUUAUUAAUGUGUUAGUAUGCACAUAUGAAAUGAUAAAGAUUUAAGAUUUAGAAUUUUACUAUAUGAUGAUGAUAAUUAGGAUUUAAAUUUUAAAUAUUUACAAUAUAAUGAUGAUAUUUGAUAUUUAAAAUUUGAGAAUUACAUUUUAAUAUUUAAAAUUUAACACUUAGAAUUUAAAAAUUAAAAUUCAAAAUAAAAAAUUGAAAUUUAAAAAUUUAAAUUUUGUAUUCUAAAAAUUUAAAUUCUGUAAUUUGAAUAUUAAGAUGUAUAAUUUUUUAUUUUAAAAUUUUAAACUUUGGAGUGUUAAAAUUUUAAAAUAAGAAUUUUAAAUUUUAAAUUUUCAGAAUUUAAAUUAUUCAAUUUUGAAUUUUAAUUUUUAAAUUUUGUAUUCUAAAAAUUUAAUUUUGUAAUUUGAAUAUUAAGAUGUAUAAUUUUUUAUUUUAAAAUUUUAAACUUUUGAGUGUUCAAAUUUUAAAAUAAAAAUUUUAAAUUUUCAAAUUUCAAAUUUUAAAUUUAAUAUUGAAUUUUAAGGCUACAAUUUAAAAUUUUGAACUUCAAAAUUUAAAAUUGAGUCCUAAAAUUUUAAAAUUUAAAAUUUAAAAUUUAAAAGUAUAAGUUUUUAGAGACCAUAUAUUAUACUGUACAAAUAAUAAAAUAAUUAAACUCUUAGAAAAUAUUUUGCAAAAAAAAUAUAGGAAAAAAAUCUAAAAAACACCAAAAAAAAAAAAAUUGCUGAUUAAAUUCAUUAGAAAAUAUUUUGCAAAAUUUCAUCAUCAUUAUAUUAUAAAUUCUAAAUCUUAAAUCUGUAUCAUUCCACAUAUGUAUGCCCACACAUCAAUAAUAUAUUAGAAACUGUAAAGUGGGGGAUCGAAAAGUUUUUUUUAAGAAAACUUGAUUGUAGUGCCUCUAAUAAAGAAAAAAAAAAAUGAAAUGUCGCAAUUACCUACGUAACUGUGAGAUCCCAUAUAGUUCUAUAUAUCUGAUAUAAUAGGGCUAAACUAUCAACCCGACUUAAAAUAUUUUGGGUGGUGGCUAGAUCCAAGAGGUUGAGAAAGUUAUGUGUGUUAGAACGAGAUAGUCCUAGAAUGGAUGACCUCUUAGGAAGUUGGUGCGUCAUAGUUGGUAUCAGAGCCAAUUACCAGCCGCGGAAAGAGUGUGAGAUGAGUCUCAGCUGGGUCAGGUUAUACAGCGGGGAGAGUGAGACUAUCAUGCUGUUGACUGUUGUAUGUGGAGCUUGGUUCACCACAAGGUCGGUUUAGGCUAGCGAGAUGAGUCUCACAUCACCUGAUACUUGUGAGUUUGAGUUUAAUGAAGAUGUUAGGGCUUAAGGGGGGAGAAUGUGAGAUACCACAAAGUUAGGUUAAGUUAGCGAGAUGAGUCUCAUAUCGUUUGAUAUUUGUGAGUUUGAGCAUGAUGAAGACGUCAGGGCUUAGGGGGGAAAAUGUGAGAGACUCCGGAUAGUCCUAUAUAUGAGAUAUAAUAGGACUAAGUUCUCAAGCUGGCUUAAGCAUUUUGGGUGAUGGCUAAGUUCAAGAGGUUGAGAGAGUUAAGCCUAAUACUUGUGAGUUUCAGCUUGACGAAGACGUCAGGACUUAAGGGGAGAGAAUGUGAGAUCCCGGAUAGUCCUAUGUAUGAGAUAUAAUAGGACUGAACUCUCAACUCGAUUUAAGUAUUUUGGCCGGUGGCUUGGCUUGAGAGAGUUUGGCUUGAUACUUGUGAGUUUGAGCUUGACAAAGACGUCAGGACCUAAGGAGGGAGAAUGUGAGACCCCGGAUAGUUCUAUAUAUGAGAUAUAAUAGAACUAAACUCUCAACCCGACUUAAUCUCCAAAAGAGCGUGGUUUCAAAUUCCACUCUCAAGAAACCUUUUUUUUACUUAUUUAUUUUGCACAAUAUUUUGUUUUUUGUGGUUUUUCUAGAAUUUUUCUUCCACAUUUAUUCUGCAAAUUAUUUGUUAAUAGUUUAAUUAGCAUUUAAUUUUUUUUAUACAUUUAGUUUUUAAAAUAUUUUAAAUUUUAUAUCUUAAAUUUUAUAUUUUAAAUUCUUAUUUUAAUUUUAGGUUUAAAUUUUAAAUUUAAAUUCAAAUAUUAAUUUUAACUAUUAAAUUUUAUUUCUGAAUUUUAAAGUUUCAAAAUUUACUUUUAAAUUCUAAAAUUUAAAAUUUAGAUAUUAAAUUUUAAAUUUCAAAUUUUAAUAUUAAAUUUAAAAUCUCAAAUUUUAAAUUUUUAACUUAAAAUUCAGGAAAAAUUUAAAUUUUAAAAUUUUAAAAUUUUAAAACUAAAAAGUUUAAAAUUAUAAAUCUUAAUUUUUAAAUUACAAAUUUUAAAUUUUUAAAAUUCAAAUUUUAAAUUCUUAAAUUUUAAUUUUGAAUUUUAAAUUUUAAAUUUUAAAUUUUAAGUAUUAAAUUUUUAAUAUUAAAAUUUUAAAUUUCAAAUGUUAAAUAUUAAAUAUUAAAUUUUAAAUUUUAAAUUUUGAAUUUUGAAAUUUAAAGUUUGAAAUUUAAAUUUUAAAUUUUAAAAUUUAAAGUUUAAAAUUUAAAUUUUAAAUUCUAAAUUUUAUAUUUUAAAUUUUAUAUUUCAAAUUUUAAUUUAAAUAUUAAAAAUUUAAAUUUAGAUUUAAAAUUUAAAAAAAAAAAGUGUGUGGGCUCACCUAGGAAUCCAUCUCUUGGAAAUGACUUUCAUAAACAGCUUACAUCACUUGUGCUUUCCUUGGGUGUCGGGCAGUCAGUAAAAAAUGAAAACGGAAAAAGAUUUCAUUGCCAUCAACUCCCAAUUCAACAGGAUAUCGUUUUUAUCUUGUUUUCUUGAACAAUGCCUUUGACGCCAAGGAGAAUGAUACGCACGCAACCAAAUCCAUCUGACGAUACGCAACUAGGGCUGGAACUGGGUCGGACUUCGGAUCGGGGUUUAUCCAAUUUUUUUAAAAAAAUUAAGUUUAAAAAGGCCCGGCCUAGACGCAAGGCCAAUGCCUAAUACCCAUUGGGCUUUGUGACGGCCCACUGUAUGUAUUCGUCACAUAGUAUAAAUAUAGUUUUAUUGUAUAAAAUUAAAACAAAAUAAGAUAUUCUCAUAUUAGUAAAUAAUAAAUAUUAUAUAUAAUGUUAAGUUCUAUGUAUAUAACUAUGUAAAGUAAUGUAGUAUCCUUGGUAUUCUGCAGCCGUGAGAUUUCUGCAUCUGAGGCUGGUCGACACAUCUGGAGAGUGUCGGAACAAAUCCGAGUCGUUUUGACAUGAAAUAGACGCAAAACGGAGUUAGUGUGACGCGGGAGCAGUAUUUAAGCACUGAAAUUUGCAAAUUACAAGUUGUCAGCAUUGAGUACCGGUACCACACAGGGGAGUAUCGAUAUCCCAGUAUAUAUUUUCCGACUGUUGCUCUCGGGUUGCGAUGGCAGAUGCAAGGUACCGGUACGGCAUCGGCCUGGUACCGGUACUCCAGGGUAGGUGAGGGGCUUUUUGGUCAAUUGCUGCCUCGUUGUUAUCAACUCUUUUCCACCGCUUUAUAUAUGUAUAGAGAGGCAGAGAGUGAGGUUUUGUUGCCUAUUUCCUUUUCUCUCUCUAGGUUGGGUGGUGAGCACGGUGGAGGCCUCGGGUAGAGCUCGGAUCGACGUCGACGUUGCGCCGGGGAGUCGUUCGAGCGUACGUGCGUCGUAGUUGCAUCGUUGGGAAGCCGGGCGAGCGCGUGGUUCCUCUCCUAUCGACUUCUCGCCGGAGUUGGAUUAGUUUUCAAGAUGGGUUGAUGUUUAUCGAAAUCGUCGGAUUUCCUCCUAAGCCGGAGUUGACAGCAUGUGUUUUUGAUUUCGUAUAUCAUGUUUAGUAGCUCGAUUCGUCGAUUUGCAUUGCUUUUAAAUGAAAUCUGAAUUGAAGCUUUAAAUGCUAGUUCUAUUAUAUAUGUUGGACUUGAACUUGACUUAGGAGAAAACUAUAGGUUCUACACUGUCAUUUUCUGAAAACUAAUAGAUUUAGCUUUAUGAGCUGUAGUUAGUUUGUAUCGCCGCAGUUUGUACGCGGUGGAUAUACAGAAUAGUGUAGAAUGAAAUUACGCUCGUGCUCGGAUAUCGAGUUUAUUUUUACAGUAGUGUAUAGACUGUUCCGCACUGUCGGGUGCCGUCGCGGUUGACGGUGGAUCCAGAUUUCUAUAUUUUUCAUCAGAUUGUGCCAAAGGCACUUGAGUUGUGGUUGUUAGACCAGUUAGACCCUUUUGCUUUGACUAUAGCCUAUGAGAGUCUGAUUGAGUUCGGCAGAGAUACGCUUGCAUACUCGGUUGGGUAGCGCCCACGAGUGCCACUCCGGAGUCGGAUUUUGUGCUUUUGCGUUGUUGUCGUUGUGUCCUGGUUGGACUCGCUCUCCACUAACAACCCAGCGUGGUGGUAGUUAGUAUAGUUUCGACAGGCGGGACGAGUAUGUUCAAAGUCCCUAGUGAGAUUGGGUCAGAGAUUGCAUAUUUUUCUACAAAUAGUUAGUGUCGGAUCGUGAUAGUAUAAGGGCAUAUAGCUGUAGAGUUUUUCAGCUUUCUUUACUAUUCUUGAGCAUACUUCUGUAGACUUAGUGAGUGAGCCAUUGAGGUCGGUAGCGGUACCCACUGAGGACUAUUUUUUUUUUUUGCAGUAGUUCUCACACCCAGUUGUUGACCCCUUUUUGCAGAGCCUUCUUCUUCGGCUGCUGCUGUUGCUGAUUCCGAUCGUAGAAAGAAAGUCGCGAGCUAGAUCCCUUACAAUUUUAUUGCUGCUUUAGAGGAGUACCAGCUUCAAGUAGUUUUGGUUUUUUGGGUCAUGUACAUACUGAUGUUUGAUCCUCACUGGAGCGAGUGAUGUUGUAUCUAGAGACUGUGUAUGUAUAGUGAAGCCGAUGUUUAUUUAUAUAUGUUUACCAUUCUGUUAGCAGCUCUAUACUACUAGUUGUAGUUUUGUAUGAUUACAGGUACAGGUACAGCUGUCGCUUCGUAUAUAGGAAAAAUUUCUUUGUAUACUGCAGAUUUGUCGGCGUGCCCGAAAAAACGAGAAUCCGGGGCGUAACAGAUUAAGUUGGUAUCAGAGCUUAGUAUUAGGUCGUUGGGAUCUAGAAAACUUUAAGCUUGGCAAACCUUAGGAAGGCAAGAUGCGAGAGGCGUGAUUUAUUGUGAAAGUCAGCGAUUGAAUUAUUUUUAACUUCUCCUAGAGUGAAGUGAGUGAUUGUAGGAGUGUCUGUUUCGGCCAAGAAAAUUAUGUCAACUGCAGGGGUGGCCUUCUAGACUUUCGUUUGAUUGAGUCGAGAGUGCUUGUGUUUUGUAUCUGACCAUUGUUUUGUUUUCAUGCAGUUAUGUAUCAACGUCGAGGUCGACCGCCGACCCGGGAUCGUGCCGCACCACCUAAGAAGCCGGAGCAGGCAGGGCCGAGUGCACCCCCAGAUCUAAGAGAGCAGUUAGUUGCCCUGACUGAGGUGACGAGGCAGCAGGGGGCAUUGUUGUAGAGGAUGUGCAAGACAUUAGCUCCGUCUUAGAGCACAGCACUGAGAGUACCAGAGCAGUCAGCUCCACCCCCGACUAUUCCAGUGUCCGCACCAACGGCAGCAGUACCCCCACCAGUGACAGUUCCCACGGCGCCGGUUACAUCUUCUGGAGAUGCGUCACAGAUGUCGGAGGCUGAGCAAGCUUUGUAGGUGGAGAGAGGUGAUGUAUCGACCCGCGAGCGGGCACAGGCUCAGCUGCCGAGGCAAAGUCAAGAUAGGAAGCGCCCGGUUCUAGAUGACGGAGGACAGUCGAGCAGCAGACGUUCGCCGAGACCUCCACGAUCACGCUUUUGGGGUCGUGGGUCUUCGGGAUGUUAGCGUUAUGGGGGACCUCGUCAGCAGAGGCAACCACAGGGUAUUCCGCAGUGUGUGAUUUAUGGGGGGCCACACUGGCCUCGACAGUGUACGCAGAGAGAGGGCCAGUGUUAUGGAUGUGGAAGCCUGGACAUUUGAGGGCAGCUUGUCCUCGAGCAGCAUCCCCAGCACCAUCGACGGCAUCAGCACAGUCGGCACCUAAGCAGUCUUACGGAGCGGCACCGAGUUACCGCCAGGUGGAUAGAGCGUCUGUGCCGCGACAGGGUGAGCGGCGACAGCAGGCCCCAAGUGGCAGGGUUUAUACAGCCCAGGUGGAGGACUCUACAACAGUCGACCGGGUGGUGGCAUGUAUUAUUUUGAUUUCUGGUAUUCGAGCUCGUACCCUUUUUGAUACCGGUGCAUCACAUUCUUUUGUUAGCCGAGCAUUUGUAUUGUUGCACUAUCUAGAGAUAGGGCUAUUGUUGCAUACAUGAGAGGUGCAUAUCCCCGACCAUAUUUUACAGGUAGUAGAGUGUUGUUGGUCGUGUCCUGUGCAGUUGGACUCGUGGAUUAUGCCCGCAGACCUGUUGGUCUUAGGGCAGCUGCAGGAUUUUGAUAUUGUGCUUCAGAUGGAUUGGCUAGCUCGGUACUAUGCUACGAUCGAUUGUGGAGCGAGGAUAGUGAUGUUCUGCAAGCCAGGCCAGGAUGAGUACACUUACAGAGGCUGCAGGAGUACGUUAUUUGCCACUUGAAUUUCGUCGGUGAGAGCUCGACAGUUGAUGAGUAGAGGAUGCAUCGCUUUUCUGGCGACGAUUGUGGAGGUGCCUACGGCGACGCCGGGACUCGAGGAUAUUCCUAUAGUCCGCGAGUUUCCCGAUGUUUUUCCUCCGGAGUUGACGACUAUGCCGCCGGAUAGAGAGAUUAAGUUUGUGAUUGAUGUAGUUCCUGGAACUGCACCAAUCUCGAAGACACCCUACUGAAUGGCACCGGCAGAGCUAAGAGGGCUAAAGGCGGAGCUUUAGGAUCUGAUGGAUAAGGGGUAUGUGAGACUCAGUGUAUCGCCUUGGGGAGCGCCGGUGUUACUUGUAAAGAAAAAGGAUGGUUCACUCCGGUUAUGUGUGGAUUAUUGAGAGCUGAAUAAAGUGACCAUCAAGAACAAGUAUUCUUUGCCGCGCAUAGAUGAUCUGUUUGAUCAGCUGCAAGGAUCUUGUGUCUUUUUGAAAAUUGAUCUCUAGUCAGGUUACCACCAGUUGAGGGUGAGUGCUGAGGAUGUUCCCAAGACGGCUUUUCGAACUUAAUACGGGCAUUAUGAGUUCACUGUGAUGUCUUUUGGAUUGACGAAUGCCUCUGCCACAUUUAUGGAUCUGAUGAAUAGAGUGUUUAAGCCGUACUUGGAUAGAUUUGUGGUUGUGUUCAUUGAUGAUAUCAUGAUAUACUCCCGAAGUGAUACAGAGCAUGAGGAGCACUUGAGGAUUGUACUACAAUUUCUGAGGGAGAAGAUACGCUAAGUUGAAGAAGUGCGAGUUUUGGCUUCGGGAGGUUUCUUUCUUGGGCCAUGUGAUUUCUGCAGUUGGAGUAGCAGUGGACCUGAAGAAGAUUGAUGCUAUUCGGGAUUGGCCCAGACCGACGAUGGUUACCGAGGUGAGGAGUUUCCUUGGAUUGGCAGGAUAUUACCGUCGGUUUGUGGAAGGCUUUACGAAGCUUUCCACACCCCUCACUCAAUUAACUCGAAUGGAAAUUAAGUUCAUCUGGAGUGAGGAUUGUCAGAGGAGCUUCGAUGAGUUGAGACAGAUGUUGAUGUCCGCUCCUAUCCUUGCCCUUUCGGUGAUGGGGGAAGGGUUUGUGAUUUAUAGUGAUACAUCGCACAAUGGUUUGGAUUGUGUGCUGAUGCAGCAUGGUACGGUAAUUGCUUAUACUUCCCGGCAAUUGAAGGAUUACGAGAAGAAUACCCUACGCAUGGCUUGGAGCUUGCCGUAGUGAUUUUUGCCUUGAAGUUGUGGCGGCAUUACUUGUAUGGCGAGCAUUGCAAGGUUUUCAUUGAUCAUAAAAAUCUCAAGUAUCUGUUCACCCAAAAGGAUUUGAACCUGAGGUAACGCCGAUGGUUGGAGUUGUUGAAGGACUAUGAUUUUAGUAUUCAGUAUCACCCCGGCAAGGCGAAUGUAGUGACAGAUGCGUUGAGCAGGAAGGUAGUGCAGAGCUUGAGCAUGUUGAUUACUCAGCAGAGGCCGUUACUUGAGGAGCUGCAGUGAUUGAGACUCGAGAUACUGUUUCCUGGGUCUACUGCAAGACUGAUGUCUUUGGUCUUACAGCCCACUCUAUUGGACAGGAUCAGGGAGAAACACAGUGGAGACUCUCAUUUGUUGAGGAUUCAAGAGCAGUUAGAGAGCAGACAGGCAGAGGCUUUUUCUGUGGACAGUUCGGGAGUACUACGGUACAGGGACCGGCUGUGUGUGCCUAUAUGGAUUCAGAGAUCCGAGAGAAGAUUUUGAGAGAGGCUCAUUACUCACCUUAUACGGUUCACCCCAGUGGAACCAAGAUGUAUAAGGACUUGAAGGCACACUUUUAGUGGAAUGGAAUGAAGAGCGACAUUGGCAAAUAUGUAGCUCAGUAUCUGGCUUGCAACAGGUAAAGGCAGAGCAUCAGGUACUUGCUGUCAAGCUUUAGAGUCUGCCAGUGUCCGAAUGGAAAUGGGAGCAGAUCACGUGGACUUUGUCGUGGCAUUACCUAGAGCACAGGGUGGUUUUGAUGCGAUUUGGGUGAUAGUAGACAGACUGACUAAGUCUACUCACUUCUUACCAGUACAGACCACCUGGUCAAGGAAGAGGCUCACUCAGUUAUAUCUGGAUGAGAUUGUUAAGCUGCAUGGUGUGCCUACUUCGAUAGUAUUGGACAGAGACCCAAGGUUUGUUUCGCAUUUUUGGAGGAAUCUUCAGAUAGCCUUGAGUACACAGUUAUAUUUCAGCACGGCGUUUCAUCCACAGACGGGAUGAUUAGUCAGAAUGGACAAUUCAGACUCUGGAGGACAUGCUGAGAGCAUGUGUCCUGGACUUUGGAGGAGGGUAGCAUCGACAUUUGAGAUUGGCUGAGUUUGCAUACAACAACAACUAUCAAACGAGCAUUCAAAUGGCUCCGUUUGAAGCGUUGUAUGGACGCAGAUGUCGAUCCCCUUUGCAUUAGAGUGAUGUUGGUGAAAGGAAGACUCUGGGGCCUGAGAUUCUGAUAAAGGCUGAUAAAAAGGUUAAAGUUGUACGACGACAUCUUUUGACAGCCCAGAGUCGACAGAGGAGCUAUGGCGAUACCAGGAGACGAGAUUUAGAGUUUCAGGUUGGAGAUCAUGUGUUUCUAAAAGUCUCGCCGUCCAGAGGGAUACGUAGAUUCGGAGUGCGUGGAAAGUUCAGUCCACGUUUUGUAGGCCCUUUUGAGGUUUUGGAGCGAGUCGGACCGGUUGCCUACAGGAUUGCUCUACCCCCACGACUGGCCUGUAUUCAUUAUGCCUUUCACGUCUCGGUGUUGAGAAGAUACGUGUUCGAACCCUCCCACGUGAUUGACUUUACUCCGCUGGAGCUUGGCGAGGAUUUGAGAUAUGAGGAGCGACCGACAUGAAUUCUUGCUUGGGAGACGAAAGAAUUGCGUAACCGGGUCAUUCCUUAUGUGAAAGUGCAGUCGAGUCAUCACGAGGAGCGUGAGGCAACCUGGGAGCCGGAGACGGUGAUGCGGGAGUCUACCCUUACUUGUUCGAUGCUCAGGAUUAAGGUAUGCGUUAAGUUUCGAUGGCGAAACUUUUUGUAGUGGGGGAGGAUGUAGUAUCCCUGGUGUUCUGCAGCCGUGAGAUUUCUGCAUCUGAGGUUGGUCGACACAUCUGGAGAGUGUCGGGUCAAGUCCGAGUAGUUUUGACGCGAAAUAGACACAAAAUGGACUCAGUGUGACGCGAGAGCAGUAUUUAAGCACCGAAAUCUGCAAAUUGCAGGUGUCAGCAUUGAGUACCGGUACCAUACAGAUGAGCACCGGUACCCCAGUAUAUAUUUUCCGACUGCUGCUCUCGGGUUGCGAUGGCAGAUGCGGGGUACCGGUACGACAUCGGCUUGAUAUCGAUACUCCAGGGUAGGUGAGGGGCUUUUUGGUCAAUUGCUGUCUCGUUGUUAUCAAUCCCUUUCCACCGCUUUAUAUAUGUAUAGAGAGGUAGAGAGUGAGGUUUUGUUGCCUAUUUCCUCUCUCUCUCUAGGUUGGGUGGUGAGCACGGUGGAGGCCUCGGGUAGAGCUCGGAUCGACGUUGACGUUGCGCCGGGGAGUCGUUCGAGCAUACGUCCGUCGUAGUUGCAUCGUUGGGAGGCUGGGCGAGCGCGUGGUUCCUCUCCUGUCGACUUCUCUCCGGAGUUGGAUUAGCUUUCAAGGUGGGUUUAUGUUUACCGAACUUGUCGGAUUUCCUCCUGAGCCGGAGUUGACAGCAUGUGUUUUUGGUUUCGUAUAUCAUGUUUAGUAGCUCGAUUCGUUGAUUUGCAUUGUUUUUAAAUGAAAUCUGAAUUGAAGCUUUAAAUUCUAGUUUUAUUAUACAUGUUGGACUUGGACUUAACUUAGGAAAAAACUAUAGGUUCUACACUGUCAUUUUCACUAACAGAUUUAGCUUUAGGAGCUGUAGUUAGUUUGUAUCGCCACAGUUGUACGCGGUGGAUAUACAUAAUAGUGUAGAAUGAAAUUACGCUCGUGUUCGGAUGCUGAGUUUAUUUUUACAGUAGUGUAUAGACUGUUCUGGACUAUCGGGUGCGGUCGCGGUUGACGGUGGAUCCAGAUUUCUGUAUUUUUUAUUAGAUUGUGCCGAGGGCAUGUGAGUUGCGGUUGUUAGACCAGUUAAACUCUUCUGCUUUGACUAUAGCCUGUGAGAGUCUGAUUGAGUUCGGCAGAGAUACGCUUGCAUACUCGGUUGGGUAGCGCCUACGAGUGCCAUUCAGCAGUCGGGUUUUGUGCUUUUGCAUUGUUGUCGUUGUGUCCUGGUUAGACUCACUCUCCACUGACAAUCUAGCGUGAUGGUAGUUAGUGUAGUUUCGACAGGCGGGACGGGUAUGUUCAAACUCCCUAGUGAGAUUGGGUCAGAGAUUGCAUAUUUUUCUACAGAUAGUUAGUGUUGGAUCGUGAUAGUAUAGGGGCAUAUAGCUGUAGAGUUUUUCAGUUUUCUUUACUAUCCUUGAGCAUACUUAUGUAGACUUAGUGAGUGAGCCGUUGAGGUCGGUAGCGGUAUCCACUGAGGACUACUUUUUUUUGCAGUAGUUCUCACACCCAGUUGUUGACCCCUUUUUGCAGAGCUUUUUUCUUCGGCUGCUGCUGUUGCUGACUCCGAUUGUGGAAAGGGAGUCGCGAGUUAGAUCCCUUCCAGUUUUGUUACUGCUUUAGAGGAGUACCAGCUUCAGGUAGUUUUGGGUUUUUGGGUUAUGUACAAACUGAUGUUUGAUUCUCGCUGGAGCGAGUGAUGUUGUAUCUGGAGACUAUGUAUGUAUAGUAAACCCGAUGUUUAUUUAUAUAUGUUUACCGUUCUGUUAGCAGCUCUAUACUACUGGUUAUAGUUUUGUAUGAUUACAGGUACAAGUACAGCUAUCGUUUCGUAUACAGGAAAAAUUUUUUUGUAUACGGCAGAUUUGUCGGCGUGCCCGACAAAACGAGUAAUCCGGGGCGUGACAAGUAAUACGUACUAUAUAUUUUUAUUUAUAUAUGUGUAUAAUUGCAUAUAAUAAUAUUAUUUUUAACAUAUCCUUAUAUAGAAACUAAAUAUUUAGUUAUAUUUAUAACAUACCGUCAUAUAUAUUAAUAUAUAUAUCUUUAAUAAUACUAUAUAUAUACUAUGUGUAUUAUUUAGUUCUUAUAUGGACGAAUAUAUUAUAUAUUUAAAACGUAUCGGGCAUUGGGGUCAAGGCCGGGCUCGGGCCAGGCUUGGACAUGUCUAGAUUAGCCCAAAAUUUUUAGGACUGAAAUUUUUAAGUCUGGCCCAGACCCAAAGUUAUAAUUUUGAUAUCCAAAACCCGGCCCAUAUAUGGGCUAUCGAGCCGGGCCUUUUUUAAGCCCGGCCCUGUUCCACCCCUAAAUACAACCCUUUGAACCGAAUAGGUCAAAAAAAACCUCUUUAAACUGCUCGAAUCAAUAGUUCAAGCAUCAGACUGAUAAACUAGUCUUGAUUUAAUCAAGUCGGCUGAAUUCUUUUAUCAAUUUAUAUUAAAAUCUAAUGGCUUAAAAUCAAUUUAGUUUAUUUUAUAUAAAUUAAAUUAAGUUUAAAUAAAAGUUAAGUUAAAAUAAAUUUUGAUCUCUAUUUUAAAUUUAGAUGGUUAUUAGCGGCAGAGUUUAUUUUUACUUAAUUUAUGUUUUAAGUUUGACUUGUUCCUAACUACGUUUUCAAUUCAAUUACCAAUGAAUAUUUUUAUAUGUGCAAGGUUUUUUUUUUAGUGUUUACCCAAAAUUUUAAAAUCUAAAUAAAUUUUAAAUUUUAAAUUAAAGUUUAAAUUUAGACUUAAAUUUAGUAAUCAAACAAAAUUUGAAUUUAGUUUUGAAUCUAUUAUUUAAAUUUAAAUAAUUAUUGAUUUAAUAGUUAUUUUUAAACCACUCUAUUUUUCAAACAUAUUUUUUUUAGUUAAUUAAUUAUUUAAAUUUCUUUUUUAUGAUGUGUACGAAAUAUUCUUUUCUUGCAUCUAGAAUUUCGAUUUUCAGUUAAAAAUUUUCUAUCACUUUUAUAUAUAGUAUAUAUAAUAAAAUAAAAAAUAAUUAAAUAUUUAUGACGUCCUGUCUUUGUUAGUUAAUUCGCAAAUUAUUAAUAAGUUCGUGAAUAACGAAUUAAACAGCCUGUGUACAUACUGUUUCCCAAAAUUUUGGAAUAAUUUGCAUUUUUUAGGUUUAAAAUAAAUAUUCGCGAAUUAUACUCGAUCAUCCAAUUUUUCACCCAAAAAAACGAGGGCUCCUCUUCACAGGUGGGCCACGCGGCACACUAGCUCAAAGCCUCAAAAUGAAAAAAAAAAAAAAAAGAAAAGAAAAUUGCUCAGAAGCGUUCGCCAUCGGAACCCUCCGUGAGGACGAGAAGCCGAGCAUCCGAAGUUGGGAACCACCCCGGCCGUGCAUCGCUUGCCACCAGAACCCCCGCGAGGCCGAGCACUGCUUACCAUCAGAAUUUUGGAACCACCCCGGCCGCAUGCUGCUAAUAGCAGAAAUCUAGAGAAAAAAAAAAAAAAUUUAAUAGCAAAAUUUUUUUAUCCUAAAUAUUUAAUUGGUGAAUAUAUAAUAUCCGUAUAAAUUACAUAUCCGAAUAAUUGGUGAAUUCAUUUUUCAGCCGUAUUUUUUAACGAAUUUAAAAAUUAGAAUACGAAUUUUAUUCGUUUUAUACCCGUAUCGAAUUUUUACUGAAUCUGAAUUAACUAUGCGUCAUGGACAGUGUCAAAUAACCACGUAGUCCACUCUAAAAACAUAUGCAAUCCAAAUCCCGUGCUACAAAACAAAUUGGACACUAGCCCCAGUUAUUAGAAAACUAUUUCUAGGAGUUAAUAAAUUAAUUAAAUUGAUUUAGGCAAAUUUAAUUAUAAUGAUACUAUAUAACUGCUGAUUCAAAAAUGUAAUAAAUAUAUGUCCGAUCAUGCAUAAAAUAUAAAUAUUUUUCUAGACUCUAAUACCACUCUUAUCCAUUAUGUCCCGAGACCCGUCCCAUAAGCACCGCUCGGGAAUGCAACAGACCCACCAAAUGAAUAAGAUUUUUCUUGCUAGCACAAACAAGUAAAAUACACCAACAUGUAUAUUUCAUACAAAAAUAGGUGUAAUGAAAUAUCAGAAUCAAUUAACUUCUAAUUUAAAUCUUUUAAAAUAUUAUUAUAUUUGAGUUUACAUCUAAAACUCUCAAAAUAGUACAUAUUUCAUUAUUCCUACAAAAUAGUACUCUCUAGACUGACUUUUGGACAAUCUAUUUAGAUUGUGACUCCCUAGCCACGGCUAUGCGCCUUACCGGAAAUAGAUUGCUCUGAAAAAGCAAUAAUACUAAGAGGGUGAGAACUUAAAAUAAGGUUUCAGUAAAUACAACCAACGAAAGUGGCACUCUACACACUCGAUCUAAAGGAGUUAUAAGUAAAACCAUAAUAAAUAAUGGUACAACUAUUACAGUAAAAAUAUAUGAAGAAAUGUGCAACUACGUACUGUACCUUUAGUAAGAUACCAAUAUGCUAAGCGAGAUGUAACUAGGUGAUAUAUUAAGAAAGAGAGCAUUUGCAGCACAUGGUAGAAAAUGAAGGACUAGAGGUGUAACUGUUGAAACAGUUACAACAAGAAACUGUAAAUAACUGAAAUAGUUGUAACCGAAUUCCAUAAACAGCUGAAACUGAAACCCAUUUCCACACUUAGUUCAUUAUAAAUAGAGGGAGGGUAAGAUGUAAAGGAGGCUGUUGAAGAAUAAUAAGAAGAAACUCCCAUUUCCUUUCUUUUUCUCUGUUCCUUGCGUCGAGCUCACCAGGGAUCACCAUUAUUGAUCGCUAUGUGCUCAAACCCUUUUUUUCUAACCCACAUCAGUGGUAUUAGAGCUCUCCAAGUCUUCGUCUACCUGAACAUAGUGGAGGGAACGCGAUCCCAAGACCUUCAGAAGGCUGAAAAGACCCUGCGCGCGAUGAUCAAGGAGACGUUGGAGCGCCAUGCACAAUCGAUCCAAGAAAUUAGUGAUCGGCAAAGCCGCGACAUAGAGGAGGUAAGGAAAAUGCUUGUUGGGUUACAAACUUCUUUGAGUUCACCUUUCCCUCUUGUUUUUUCUGCCCAACCCUAAGUAUGGGAAUGAUAUGGGCAAAAGAUACCAAUUCCAAUCCUAUUUUGCCAAAAUUGAGUUCCCAAGAUUCUCCGGGAGGAUCUAAAAGGCUGGUUGUACAAAUGUGAUCAAUACUUUGAUGUUGAUGCCACCCCGAAGGAUGCAAAAGUAAGGUUAGCAUCUAUAUAUCAGGAAGUAAAGGCCCUACAAUGGCAUCAAUGCUAUAUGAAGGGUUGCCUAACAAGAGCAGCCCCUCACUGGGAAUAGUAUGUACAAGCCCUGUCCAAAAGAUUUGGACAAGAGCUUUAUGAUGACAGUAUGGCAGAGCUCAAGAAUCUCAAGCAAAUCAAAACUAUCCAAGAAUAUGUAGAUAGUUUUGAUACACUGCUUAAUAGAGUAGCGCUCUCCGAAGAGUAUACUAUUAAUUGUUCUUUGAGUGGAUUGAAAGAAGAAAUACAAUUGCCUAUGCACAUGUUUGCUCCAACAACAUUACAAAAGGCAUUGAGCUUAGCGAGAUUACAGGAAUCUACUAUUGAAAUCAACAAUAAAAAAAAUAGAAACAUAAGACCCAAUAGCUCUUAUUCUUUAGCCUUACUACCAACACCCAAAGGGAGUUCGACGUCAGUGUUGCCUCAGGGGCCCUCACUGUCUCCAGUGUUACCACCUGGACCAUCACUGCCCUCCAAACCACCCGAGGCAACCUUAAAUAGAUCUUGGCCUCAGAAAUAACCUAAAACAUUGCCGAAUAAUGAAAUGGAUGAAAAGAAAGCUAAGGGACUUUGUUUCUGGUGUGAAAAAAGAUAUGUACCUGGGCACCAAUGUAAAAGGAAACAACUAUAUAGAAUAGAAGUUAUGGCGAAGUAGAGGGAGAGGAGAAUGUGGGAAUAGAUAAGGAGGACCAACAAAUAUAGUCACAGGGUCAAACUUAGCUAGUUCCACAUCCCAAAUCUCCCUAAAUGUCUUGGCAGGAACACCUUUAAUACCGAGUUUUAGUGCGAUGAGGCUAUCCGGCGUAGUAAGAAACAAAAGAGUGUAUAUACUUAUUGAUUCAAGCAGCACUCACAACUUCCUAGAUUUCAAUACUGCCGCCCAAGUUGGGUGCAAAAUUACAGCUUGCCCCCCAAUUUCUAUGCAUGUCGCAGACGGUAACAAGAUUCAAUGUAGUUCAAUCAGCCCAGUAUUUUUAUGGAAGAUGCAAGGUUUGGAAUAUGAGGCCAAUAUAUAUGUUGCUUCUUGUCCCGCUUUUGUAAACUUUUUUAAAGAAAAGUCAGUUCGAAAGUAGAACCAGCGAAAAAUGCCUUUUUUUUUAAAUACAACUUGCCACCGAACAGAAGAAACCUGCCACAAAUAUAGAUUUUUUCUUGUCCACGCAGACAGAGUUUUCCCUGUAUUUGCAUGGCAUACCACUACACAAGUUGUUGCAACACUAACAUUCAGUCACACAUGCAAAACAACAGGAAAGAGUGAAGGAAGAAUAUCACGAGCUAGCACCAUUGUACAGACUCCGGAUCAAAGCACCCACCUGUAAUCAUAGCAGCGUCUAACACUCCAGGUGCAAUGAGAUGUCUAUUGGACCUACGAAACAUCCUCUGAGUCAAGAUCCACUAAGUCGACUCCGAAACACUAAACAUGUAGGCCCGAAACUGGCGAAAGUUCAAGUCCGCCGAAACACUUUCGAACUCAACGAAGUGUUUCGGAAGGUACCAUAGCACAAUCCUGGUCACUCGCUAUCCAGAAACGCACCAAUAUAGGUGUUUGGACAGCAACCACAAGCCCAAAGAAUAUCGAUAUGAAAUAACGCACGUAAUGCCAUUUCGGGUUCCCGAAAAUGUCGUUUUUGACACCGGAACCCUUCGUCGCUCACUCGUUGUCUUUGAAAACUCGAGACAGCGAGUGUAACUAGCCAAUGAGGCUUCGUGACGAACCUGGGGUGAUAACACUGUUAGUUAUAUGCUCUAUAAGCCAAUCGAUGUCACAACUUAUUUAAUAUCAGUGUACUUUUCUUUAAAAUUUAUAAACUGAUUCUUCAUUCAUAUUAUUGCCAUAUACAUAUUUUUAAAUCGUCCAUAGAAUUAAUAGUAGAAAAAUUAUAUUUCUAAGAUGUUAGAAAUUUGAGAUAUAUAUCCUUCUGUAAUUAAUUCUUUAAAUGCUCAUGAUCAUAGGAUUAUCAUGAGAGCGGUGAUAAAUCCGGUUAAGAUCAGUGUGUGCUGUACUUUCCUUGUGGGAUGACGAGUCUCAAGUCAUUAGUGUGGUGACACUAGAGUAAGCAUACAGGUGAAUGUUGAAAAUAGAAUUUUUUUUUUUUCAGGAUUUUAGAACUGCCUCUAAUAUGUCUCUAACAGAUUCCGUAGAGACGGUUGUUACAACCGUCUUUUUACAACCGCCUCUACAGACGCUUUUUCCUGUAGUGAGAGUUAGAGGGGCAAAUAAGAGAGAAUGAUGUUGCUUGUGAAGGGGCAUGCAUUUAUAAGAGUACUACAAUUACACUUAGACCCUCAAUCAUUCGUAUUUGCAACUAAGGAACUUACCUUUUUGCUAGGUUUCAACUGCUUGCUUGAUCUUUUGGACGUCCGAAAGCCCCAGACCGCAACUCUAGAGCCCUAAAGUCCAACAUUUGAUAGUUGUUCCAGGUGCUCGCGCAACUGCUUGACUCCCCUUUUUGGAUGCUUAUAGGAAAAACCAGACGCUUGAUUAAUUAACUAGUUAAGCUACCCCUCUUAGGUUGAGCAUCCGAAAGUAGAACUGGACAUCUGAAGAAGCAGUUCAAAAGGUUUUUCAGAUGCCUGCAGGACGAUUCAAACGCCCGACUGAUUUUUCCUCCACUAACUCUUGCUCUUGGGUAGAGCAUUUGCUUGAAUCAAGUGCUCACACAGGCAAUGCGAAGAUUUCGUGCACCCGAAAUACCUUUUCAGGCAUCCCAAAAGUUUGGAAACCAUAUUUCCAUUUCUUUCACAACUCUAUUUUGAUUCGAGUUGAUUCCAACUCAUUUCAAACUCAGUUAAGCUUCUCCAAACCUAUUUUGAUCAUGUCUAACAUAAUUUUAAUCCGUACUUUGCCAAUUUGGCUAAAAUUCGCUGCACUAUAUUGAGUUUCAGUCGAUUACAAAAAGAAAAAAUAAGAUCAAAGUUUUUAGAUAUCUGGGCUUACUUCAUGUUGUUAUUUUGGAAUUCACCAAGCAUAUAUAAUAUUAUAUAAAUAAAAUUAUAAGGUAUCCAAACAUGUUCUCAUUGAAUGAAAAGAUGUAAAAUCUUUUCAAAAGGUGAAAUAUUUUUUUUUAUUUUCACAUAUUAUAAAAUCUGAUUCCAAUUAUAUCUUUUUUUGUUAACUUGCACUGUUUGGUUCGGGUAGGGGGAAUGGGAGAGAAUAAGCCCUUAUUCCUCCCUUUAUUUCCAAACAACAUUUUGGGUAGGGGAAAUAAUAGUUCUCCUUUUUGAGGAAUAAGUUGAUAUAACCAUGAAACAGCUAUUCCACCCUUCCUUCGGAACAAGUUUCUUCUUAACUGAAAAUAAGUUUAACUAAAGUCUAAAUCUAAUUUUAAUGGUAUAAAAUUAUUCUAAUUAAUUUAUUUAAGUCAUUAUCUAUUGCUUAAAUAGUAAGUAAUUAAUUAAUUUAUUAUUAUAAUUAAUUAGAUAAUUAAAAAUUAAUAAUUUAAUUUGUUUAUCUAAUAACUAAUAAUUUAAUGUUCUAACCGAUUUAAUUAAUUUCUUAAGUAAUUAUUUAACUAUAAUAAUUUACUAAAUAAUUAAANGAAUAAGCCCUUAUUCCUCCUUUUAUUUCCAAACAACAUUUUGGGUAGGGGAAAUAAUAGUUCUCCUUUUUGAGGAAUAAGUUGAUAUAACCAUGUAACAACUAAUAAUUUAAUGUUCUAACCGAUUUAAUUAAUUUCUUAAGUAAUUAUUUAACUAUAAUAAUUUACUAAAUAAUUAAAAAGUUAACUUUUUAUAUUUAAUUAAAUAAUUAUCAAUGUAUCCCUUCAUUAUCUUAUCCAUUGUUCAUAACUAAAAUAUUUAUUUGUCGAGCCACGGGGCCAAUUUUAAAAACCUUUUUAUAAUGAUAUUAUUUUAGAAAUCAGAGUUGCGGAAAACGUGCCCUUUUUUUUUUGAAUUCAACCUGGCACAUGUGGCGUACAGAUCCGUCACAAAUACAAAGUUUCUCUGCCUACACGAAAAAAGUCUUCUUUGUAUUUGCACGGCAUACCCAAUGAUAACAACAACAGGAUCACAACAACAACCUAUAUUCAUCGAUCCACAAGCAAUAGAUGCAAUGCAAUUCCAUACAGCUAGCCAUCCUUAAAAAUGAUGUAUAUCUCUAAACAUUUGUUAGGCGCUGAAUGAUGCGAUGCACAUUACAACAAUUAUCCUAUUUAAAAGUGCUCCCUACCCAAAAGCUUUAUUUUUAAACUCUAUUUGAUCAUUUAUGAAAAUUAUUCGAAAACAUUUUUAAAACUGUUUCCCACUCGAAAAUUCUAUUUUUGAAAAUCGACUACCUCAAGGGUUAGAAAACCACAACGCAUGAAUACAUGAAUCUAAAUACCACAGAUUCAUAAAAUUUCGAUUGCCUGUAUAAAAGAAAACAUCAACUCAUACAAGUUCACGAUUAUUCAAGCAAUAACAAUAAUUGUUUAACUGAACCAUUUUAUAAUUUAAACUACUAAAUGUGGAAAGAAAAAUAACCAGGGUGACGACCGCUACUGCAGCCUAACUAAGACGUCCUCCUAUCACGCCAAGAACCAACUCCUUACUUGUGCAACCUGGGGAAAUGGGGGAUGAGAAGCCACAACAAGAUUUUGCAGUAGGUACACAGAGCCCCGAAGGUAAAUCGUAUUCACUAGAAAACAAAAGGAGAUAGAACAACAGGUACACAUAAAUAAGACAUGAUACAUAGGUAAACAACAGUAGUAAUAACAGAACAGUAAAUGAGCAAGAAAUAAAGCUACUACUAUAUCAGAACCUCAACUAAAAGGAUGCCUCAAGGAUAACUAAUCCAAAUCAAUCCAAUCUGGUGCCUGUCAUAUUGGUCCGCAAACCUCAAGCGUUGCCUGUCACAGUGCAUACACUGACCUGAUUCACGCGUCCACUGACGACCCAUCCGGAUAAGUACACCCCUAGUCGGUGGCCAAACCGACAUGGUGUCUAGGAAUACACACAAUGCUGUAACUAAAUCAUGCUGAUAUGCUCAAUGCGAAAGCCGGCAGAAAACUGGUGCCUUAGCUGAAGCCAGAUACAAGGGCAUACAAUGUCGAACCAUGAUCAACCAGAUCAAAACACACAAUAAAGAAGUCGAUGCGUUGCAUAGACCCAAGAUCCAUAGAUAUACAAUAUAUGCAAGCCUGCUUUACAUGUCUAAUAACAAUUGUCACCAUGCAACUAUCAAGAUAUAGAUGAACGAACAAUAAACAAAAGCAACCGACAUAUAAAGACUGAAAUACUGAUAUGCAAGUGCAAUAGCAGGAAAGAGGAAAGUAAAACGAUCUUACCGACUACCAGCUCGAAGCACCCACCUAUAUCGAUAUCGCGCCUGUCUCCAAACUGUACACGAUCAUCAACCGGACCUAUGGAAGGUCUACUGGGUUAGUGUCCAACCCAGUAAUCCAAAGUACACAAUCCACAAACCCCACACAAAACCUCAGAAUUGGUUUCCUAAAAUCGAUCACUGUAAUUCGCCGGAAGUCCCGAAAAUCACACUGGGACUCCGCCGGGACCUACUAAGUGUCCCGAAACUCACCGACUUGUGCCACGAGUCACCCGCUGUCACAAAACACAUCAUUUUGGAUGUCUUGGAAGAAAACACAAGGUCACACAUCAAAACAAUUUAUCGCCGGAUAAUCAUUCGGAUCCGAGUUCCCAAAAGCGUUAAUUUCGACACCGGAACCCACCGUCGCUCACCCGUCAUCUCCAAACUCAUGAUAUGAUGAUGGUGACGAGCCGACAAGGCUCAGCGACAAAACUUAGGGCAAUUAAACACCGUCGGAUGAAAUCCGAACUGAAACUGCGUUCUGCCGACGAAUUUUGCCGAAAAACGCACCGAAAUCGAUAUUUGAUUUCCGCGAAGGGCUUCAGACCUUGGACAAUCAGCCCAGAGGUCAAUUACCACACACACAUACAGCCCACAGCAGCCACAAGGUACAAAAUUGCAUAAUACUCCCAACUAUUACAUAAAAUUACACCAUUUUAUGUAAACAACGAGGUUUUGUGGCUCGUUACCACAAAUCGAGAGUUUUCGAGGUUAGCUGAGACACAUACUGAUAGGUCUUGGCAUGCCGGAUGCCGUGCUCAUGAUCCGGAGCAUAGCAGCUUACUGUGGGAGGCGCGGGAGCGAUCCAAAAUUCAGCGAAUUGCGCGCACUCGGGGUAAACCAUGCUGAAAACGCAGAUUCGAAAUUCGCUGAUCAUAAGUGAGGUGAGCACUGUGAUCAGCACUGACCAGCAAUCACCGUGCUCGCCUUCGGAGGCAUCGAGAUAGCCUCAGAUCACCGAAAAAGUGCAGCCAACCCCAAAAUACACAAAAACUGGGGUUAAAAAGCUUACCGGGCAUGGGGGAGCUAGGGCACGGCCGGCGACGGCUUGGCGGUGGGCACGCCAGCGGCAGGCGGGUGCGGCCGACGGGGGGAGGCCAGGGCUCGUGUUGGCCGGUGGCAGGAGGCGGCGGCGGCGGCGCUAGAGCAACCCGAGCCCGCACAAGCUGAGCUCAGGCUCGGGGUUCAAAGCCGGCCUUGGCGGCGGCCAGAGCGCCUCAGGGCGGCGGCGACGGGCCGCCUGAGGUCGGAGAGAGGUCACAGGGGCGGCCCCGCGUGGCGGCGGCGCAAGAAAAAAGCCGCGGUGUCUCCUCUGCUCAAGCUCGCCCUAGAUGGCCAUAGGGCUGCUGCAGCGUGGCGGCGACGCUUGGGGACGGCGAUAGUCAGCUUAGGGGGGGCGGGGUCGCAGGGGCUCCGGGGGAGGCGUUAAGGGCGGCCCUAGGUGGCGGCGGUGCGGGGGAAGGGAGCUGGGACUUCCUCGGCCAGGACCAACUCGAGAUGGCUACAAUGGCAACAAUGGUGGCGGCGGCGGCCGAAGAGGGUCAGUUUGAGGGCAACCGACCACCAAGGGCCGAGGGAGAAAGGUUCGGGUCCCUCCUUAGCUCGGGCUUGAAGAUGGGUCGAGAAAAAGGUGGAAAAAGAGAGGGAGUAGGCGGCUUUUCCGGCGACCGACGACGUGCGCUGGCGGCUGGGGUGCGCACAACGAGGGCAAGAGAGGGUGACGAGGCGGCUAGGGGUCAGCUGGAGCUAAGGUUAGGGUUUGCACCAUGCAAACCCUAUAUGGCUUUUUAUACAUGAAUGUAUAAUUGCGUAAAAGUCCGCCGAAACUCGGUGUUUUCAAUUGAGUCCCUCACAACGUGAGUAAAACGCACAGACGCAACCCUAUCUUCGAUUUCAAGCAAAAUAGUACAUAAAAUGUAGGAAUUUUCGCAAAAUUUUCAUUUCGCCACUUAUAACCCCUCCUCAAUCCCCGCGCGAUAUCAGGAGAUCCGUCCGAGACAUCAAACUCAUAAUUUGUUUUGCUUGGUUUGGUCGCAGAUUCGCGACGAAACCCAUCCUCUCUUCGAUUCAGCAAAACCACACACCUAUAAAUAAUAUAUAUAUCUAAUAAUUGCCUCCAAGAACCUCCGAUUAGCAAAAAUAGAGCCAAAGUCCCUCCCAACUAGUCUUCUCAUGGAAAGGUCCUUUCCCGAGGGUCCACACGCAAAACGAAGCAACGAGAAGUUUUAAAAAGCAAAAACGGUAAAGAACAAAAGUCCACUUUGCGAUAAAAUCUAGUUUUUUCUCAAAAUCGUGCAUCAAACCCAAAACCCGUCAACAUCAUUGGGUCCAGAGUAGUCGGACCAUUGAAAACGAGCUAUUGGAUCAUCAUGAACAGAGUCUGAUACGCGCCAGAAACCAUCUCUACUCAUUGACCUCUUUGAAAAACCCAGGUUAUUAUUCACUUUAAGUGAAAAGUAAAUAUCGCGUAAAAUCUCCAUCCUAACUUGUUUUUCCCCGAAACUUAACGAGUGUUUUUGUAAUUAAAAUAAUACAAAAAUAUCAUCAAUAGAGAGUUUAGCCACACAGCCAAAUUCUUAGUCCGCACAUUAUUAAUUAAUUUAUUAAAUUAUUAUUAAUUAAUAUAUUGAUAUUAAUUAAUUAGGUAAAUAUUUUUAUUUUAACUAAUUAGAUAAAAUACUAUUUAAUUAAUAUUUUUAUGUUAACUAAUUAGAUAAAUAUUAUUAUUUUAAAACUAUAAUUACUCUUAUUCUCACUAUUCCGAUCUAACUAUUCAAAUACUAUUUUUUUUUAUUUUUAAAAAUAAUCUAAUUUUAAUCCAAAUAUAAAAUUGGCCUUUUUCCUAUUUAUCUUAAGAAUUGUAUCUAUACCAUAAAGAAAUCAAUAACAGUUUAUUUUCGAACCAAACAAUAUCUUAAAAUAGAAACUUUUUGGAUUGUUAACAUAAAUCAAGAGUCUAUAUCUUCAUGUUUCUUUCAAUAAGGAAUAAGAGCAAGUUGUCACAUCUUGUCUUGGGGAAUAUGCAUAUAUCAUUUGAGAUAUGUUGGCUAAUACAUUAGCACUAACUUUUGAAGCAGCACAUAUUCUUUUAAUUACACGUCAUUUCAAAAUAUGCCUCACAAAUUUAUACUUUGUGAGUUGAGAUUCUCAUAACUUCUAAUUAUUCUGAAAAGUGAGAUAUUUUAGUCAAGAGAAUAAAUAUCUUCUUACUUAAAUCCAUAUAGGGUUUCAUCAAAUUUAAUAGUUUUUCAACAAAUAAACAAAAAUAAUGUAAAAAACAGUAGGUAAUAGAGCCAAUAAAUAAAUUAAUAAGACUUUCAACUAAACUAAAUAAAAUAAUUCAAACUAAAAAUUAUAAGUUGAUGGCUCCAUGAUGUCCUUGUUCUUCCAUGAAACUUCGACUAUUUUUGAAAAUCUAAAUGAGCACAAGGAAAUGUUAAUUUUUUUUAAAAGAAAUUCAUGCCCCCAUUUGAAAAUGGCUUGAGUGUCCCAUACAAUUUUUACCUGAGUUAGUGAAUGGAGCAAGAACUUAACAUUCCUUAGGAAAGGCACCCUAUUCAUUUUCUUAUGCAAACUACUAUUAGAAAGAUGCAAAGCUAGAAUUAGAAAGUUCCUUUGGUUUUUUUUUUUUCGACUCUUCCAUCUUCAUAGAGACAAUUCUUAAACACUGGAGUUAAAAAUUUUCCUUCUUUCAUUUCCUCUGAGGAAGCAUGUAAUUGCUUGAGCUUGGGAUCAUCUAAUGUCUUAAACUUUGGGUAACUGUCUAUGAAUAUUCUCUCGUACCAAUAAGGGGCGUUUGGUUGUAGGUAGUUACAACUGCACUAUAAUUGUAAAUACAUAAAAAUACAAAUUCGAUAUUUGGUUUGAUAUAUUUAACUUCAACUACUGCAGUAGAAACUGCAGGAGGAGGCCCAACUACAGCAGUUAGAACUACGCUCAAAUUGACUGUAGUUUCAACUAUAGCUGUUUGAUAACUUUAAACAAAAGAUAAGCAUACCUCCCUAAUUAUUUUUAAAACAAAAAAUAUAUAUAUAUUUUUUACAUUGAAGGUAAUCUCACCAUCAUAUAUAAAAUGAUAAAAGUUUAAAAAUCAUUUCUCAACUACAUUCAAUCAAAUAAAUUAUUUGUAGUUGCAACAUUUUCUACUCUAUCUAACCAAACAUGAUGCAUAUAGUUGCAAUUGCUAUAUUUUUAACUGCAUACAUCACCCACUAUACUAUAUUUAUAAUUACAACUAGCCAAACGGCCUCUAAAUGUUGUCUAAGCCUAAAGUUUUUAAGUCCCAUCAGUAGCUAUUCUCAAGAUCGAGGGAUUCAAUCACUGAUUUUUCUUUCACAUAAAAAGAGUUGAUUUCCCCCGCUUCUUAGAUAUCAAAAAUAGAAAAUGUGCCGAGAUGUUGACAGGAGUUUACAGUCAAAUUUUGAUAAACCCAUAUCUGCAUCAUAUUUAUCUUCGGAUGCGAAUUCAAAUAUGGAUAUAUAUAUCGGAUACUUAAUUUUCGAUACCAUAUCGGCUAACAAUAGAUUUGGUUCAAAUAUGGAUUAAAUUUGUAUUCGGAUAAUAAUAUAUAGAAAAUACUGUUUGUACACCCUAAUUGGAGUGUACAAGUUACAAUCCACCUAUCUAAUGGGUGGAAUGAUUUUACUAGUCACAUAUGAUUCAUUCCACCCAUUAUGUGACUAGUAAAAUCAUUCCACCCAUUAGAUGGGUGGGAUGUAAAAUACACAUCCCGAUUCGAUGUAUAUAUAGCACUCCUCAUAAUAUAUAUUGGGUACAACUACUUAUAAAACUCUAAAAAAAAUUUAGACUAUCCGUAUUUACCCCACUUAUAAGAUUCAAUAUAUUUUUUUAACGUUUCAAACUUUUUCCAAAUAUACGCUCCCCCUUAGAUAACUUUUGAACUGAUUAGGAACAGUCAUGGAUCUCUGUAAAAUUAUAUUUUAUUUUUCAAAUAUAUCUUUCUUAUCAUCACCAAUUUUUUAUAUUUGUUCUUAAUAAUUAAGCUAUGUGGCACAAAAAAUAAUAUUUUGACUUUUUGCCUUUCAAAUACACUCUUACUACUAUACCAAUUUUCUUAUUGCCUUAGGUAGGGUAAAAUAAUUGUUAAACUUUUCGGCCUUAAAGAACUAAAACGGAUAUGGAGCAGUCGAUAUUGCCACCUGAAAUACAUCUUUACGUGUGUUAACAAGAGCUUCUUUUGCUCUUUGGUUAGAAAUUUAAUGUCCGAAUUAAUCGUGAGAAGACUUAAUAUGUACUAAACAGGUGGGUUACUUUAAUAACGAAAAACAUACGAUAGGAGUAUUUGAAAUAAAAAAAAGACGUGGCAUUAUAGUAUUCAAAAUUUUAGGGGUGUAGAAAUUAUCUCCAAUAUUAAUAUGUAAAUAUAACCUUAGAAUCACAGAGGAAUAUUUUUCGUUUUUAAACAAAAUGCAACUAAUUCUGGCACGCUGGUUCAAAUUCAUAUAUCUAUAUUUUAAGUUCAAUCAAUUAUAUAAUUAUAUAUAUAUAUAUAAAUAUAUAUAAUAUAUAUAUUAUAUAUAUAUAUAUAAUAAUAUACGUUAAUCUGGUAUACUAUACGGUACAGAGGCCGUCUGUGCUACACACAGUGUUUCAUGAUGCGGCUUCCAGAUAUCGACGAUCGGCUCCGUUACGACUUACUAGACUAUUGAAAGAUUUGAACUAAAUUCAUAAUUUUUCGCAUCAUUGCGUUAGUGAUUAAAAGGUCCUCAAAAUUGACAAUUUUAAUGGUCGAGUUUGAUGUGUUGUGAAUUUAAACGGCCGUAAAUAAUCCACAAUCUGAUAAAAUUUAUGAAAAUUCUUUUCAUUAUUAGAGUAAGAUCACUACCUCUAUCUUAAAUCAAGUCUUUACAUCAUUUUUUAUAAUUUUUAUUUUAGCCUGUUAUUUUUUAAACUACUUUGUUUGAUAGGUUAUAAUAAUGUCGAAAAUUAAAAUUCAUUUCCUAAUAUAUAAUAUAUAUAUAUAAUAGUAUAUAUAUAUAUAUUAUUAUAUUAACUAGGCUGAAUACUUUCAAUAGUACAUAGCUAGUCGAUUAUUAGGUUUUUUGCCCUUCGAUGAGAAUGUCGGUUAGGAUGUAGUAGCUCCUCUAAGGGUGUGAGGGUGGUCGCUUGAAUUAUAAUGUUAACGGAUAAAAAUAAUCAAAGGAUUAAUCUAGGGCAUAAAACAUUGCAGCACCAAUGGCUUGGUUGCUAAUCGAUAGCAUAGCAGCUCGACCUAUAUAAUAUAAGAGAGAGAGACAGAGUUAUGCUACUAUCCUAUUAAUAGGAUUGGAGCGAUUGUCCUAUAACAAGUCGUUUGAUUAAUCAGAACUUCAAAUUGAAUCCGCACCGAUUGAAAUUCAUCUACACAAUUAUAAAUGUUUAGAAACCAAAUUGUAGAAUGUUCAAUUUAAAAUCAUUAUCAAUUCAUCUUAAUGUUAAAAAUGAGGGACGUAUAAGAUGCAUAACUUCUUAAAAUAGAGAGACUUUCUCAAUCAUAAAUCAGAGUUAUCCAAACAUUACUCUAAAUAGUAUAAAAAUUUUCUAUCAAAAAUUUCAAGCAAUUAGAUUGCUCUACACGAUUAAACAAGCAAUACGCUCAUAUAGAGCCUAGUCAAAAAUUACGAUUUUACGAACACUUGAUCCAGUAAAAUAAAAAAAAUAAUUAAUUUUUAAAAUUUAUGAAAUUUAGUUCUGAUAUCAAAUAACUCUAGAGAUCACUUCAACGUGGCUCGUAUUAGAUUUGGAAUCUCGAUCAUCUAGAACAAUUUUGAUUAGGACAGUGCUCCUAAUCCUUUAAUUAGGAUAGAGCUCUAGCUAUACAUAUAUAUAUAAGCGAGUAAGUAGAUUAGCUAGGUAUACUAUGUAAGCACGAGAGACCUCCGUGCUCCAAGUUGUUUUCAAUGUCUCGUUUUCCCCCACUUGAACGAUUAUAUAUUUUUUUUUUUACGUUUUCAACGUUUUUCAGAAUAUACCCUUAGAUACUUUGAAGUGCAUUUAGGAACAGUUCGUGAUCUCUGUAAAGUUACUAUUUAUUUUUUCGAAUAUCUUUCUAUCAUCACCAAUUUUUUAUUUGUUCUUAUUAGCUAUGGGGCAAAAGAAUAUAUUUGAGCUUUUUGCCCUUGGAAUCCACUCUUCUACUAUCACCAAGUUUUCUUAUUUGCCUUAUUUAGGGUAAAAUGAAUUUUUAAGCUUUUUUCGGCCCUUUAAAGAAAUGGGACUAAACGGAUAUUGGCCAUGAUAUUGCACUUGAACAUAGCAUCUUUGUGUGGUUUUCAAAGAGCUUCUUUUUUGCUCUUUGUAGAAUUUAACAUCCGGAUUUAUCUGAGAAGACUUAUGGAUAUACUAAACAUGGUGGUUACUUUUAAAUAACGAAAACUAUCGAAUGGAUAUAUUUUGAAUAAAAAAAAUGCAUUAUUAUAUUUCAGAAAUUUGUAAGGGGUGUGUAGAUAUUAUCUCACUAUAGGUGUAUUAUGUAAAUAUGAACUUAGAAUCAGAGCGAAUAACAAAAUGCAAUAAAGGUUCAAAUUUCAGCUAUUCGUAUAUUUGUAUUCAAUGAAUGUUAGUAUUACAUUUAUAUAUACAGUAUAUAUUAUUAUAUAUAUUCGUAGCAUACCGUAUAAUGAUAGGUAUAGAUACAUAUACGGUUACAGUAGUAGUAUGAUACUAUAGUAUAAGUAGUAAAUAUAUAGUAUAAUUAUGCAAUAUAGAUAUACUAUGAGUAUAGAAAAGCAUAGUAUAUGAUAUGUAUAUAUUAUUAUUAAUAUAUUACAUAUGGUAUGUAUGUGAUACAUUAUAUAGAGUUAGCUGGUGUCUAUCGGGUAGGCGGAGGCAUAGUAGAUAUAUAUAUACGUAUAUACAGUUAGUAUACGGUAUAUAAUAUUAUUAAGUAAUUAUAUAUAGGGUUAGGCUGGUAUCUAUCGGGAGCACGGGAAGGCGCCUCCGUGUACCAGUUGUUUCAAUGAUGCGGUUCAAAUCGCGAUCGGGCUCCAUUAGACUUGGAUCUAGACUAUGAAGUAUUUGGAAUUCAAUUUCAUAUUUUUCGGAUUUUUUGGCUGUGAUUAAAAGGGUCGGUCAAAAUUUGACAUUUUAAUGGCUCGUUGUGAUGCGUUUGUUGCAUUUCGGGUAUAGCAACAAUCAAAUUCUGAUAAAUUUUAUUUUAGGGGAAACUUUUUUUCAAUAUGUUUUUGAGCAAGUCACUCCUUGAUCUUAAUUCAGAAGUCUUUUAUCAUCAUUUUUUAUGAGCUUUUUUUUUAGCCGUUUAUUUUUAGACCUUUGUUUUGAUAGGUACAAUAAUGUCGGAAAAAUUAUAAACUUUCAUUUUCCUAAUUUUUUGUAUAUACUAUAUAUAGUUUUAGUAUUAUAUAUAUAUUGUUAUAUUUAAGUAGUAUGUGAUAAAGGUGAAAUACUAUGCAAUAGUCCAAGCUUAGUGAUGUUUUUAGUUUUUUAACCUGGAUUGGAAAUGUGGGCAUAGGGAUGAUGGUGGGCCUUCUAGGGGGUUGCGUGAGUGGUUGGUUAUAGUAUUUAAUCUAACGGGAUACAUUAAUCAAAGGAGUUAAGUCUACGGCUAAAACUUGCGCACCAAGUGCUGGUGCUAUCGAUAGCAUUAGCGCCAGCUCUUCUCUUUUCUUUUCCCUCUUCUCUCUUCUCUCUCUUCUCUCUCUAUAGUUAUGGUUAUUGUUUAUAGAGUCCGGCUACUAUCCUAUUAAUAGGAUUGGGCCAUUGUCCUAUCAAGUCGUUUUUUGAUUGAUCGGAACUUCAAUUGAUAACGGCACCCGGUUUGAAAGUUGAUCUCACAUUAGACAGAUGUUGAGAACAUUUUGUAAUAUUUAAAAAAUCUUUCAGUUUCUUAGAGAGUUAAGAAAUGACGACGGUCAUAAAUGGAUUCACUUCUUAAAAUAAAGGUUAGGCUUUUCUCAAUUCAUAAUCGAGUUAUCAAACACAUUAUCUAAUGAUUAAAAAACUUUUUAUUUCAAAAUUUCAAGCAUUGGAUUGCCGUACACGUUAAAACAAACGGGCUCUACUGCCGGGCAUAGCGUCAGAAAUUGUCGUUUUUAAACCUUUGAUCACUAUUAAAUAAUUUUUUGAAAUUUAUGAGUUUUGUUUCUAGAUUUUUGCAACAUUACUCUCGGUCAACUGACGGGCUCGGUCAUCGCAUUACGGAUCUCGAUUCGUCAAGAACAUUGUGAUAGGACAGAGUGGCUCCUGUCCUAUAAUAGGAUGUGGCUUUCUAGCACUAUUUAUAUAUAUAAAUAUAAAUAGUAUUAUCGUGUAUAUUAAAGGUAUUUUUAUUUCGUAGUGAUAAUAUAUUUAUAUAUUAUAUCGUAUUAUAGUAGGACUAUAAUAUAUGUAUAUAUUAGAGUUAGGGCUGUAUCACUAUCGGGGCCGGAGGGGCCUCCAUUGUACAGUUGUUUUCAUGAUGCGGCUUCCAAAUCGACGAUCGGCUCCGUUAGACUUGAUCUAGACUAUUGAAAGUAUUUAGGAACUAAAUUUCAUAAUUUUUCGGCAUCAUUUACCUAUCAAACGAAUAAUCUAAAAAUGAAUGGCUAAAAAUAAAAAUCUCAUAAAAAAUGAUGAUAAAAGACUUGAAUUUAAUAUAAGAAAUAUUGAUCUUACUCUAAAUAGUGAAAAAAAAUUUCAACAAAAAUUUCAUCAAAUUUGGAUUGUUUUACACCGUUAAAUUCACAAACGCAUCAAAUCUAUUAUUAAAAUUGUCAAUUUUGAGAUCUUUUGAUCACUAGCCAAAUGAUGUCGAAAAAUUAUGAAAUUUAGUUUCCAAAUACUUUCAAUAGUGUAGAUCAAGUCUAAUAGAGCCGAUCGUCGAUUUGGGAGCCACAUCAUUGAAAACAACUUGGUAACACGGAUACCUCUGUGCUACCGAUAGUAUACCAGCCUAGCUCUAUAGAGUUGAGCUAGAAUACUCUCAAAAGCACCUAGGGGGUGGUGCUUUUGAGUUUUUUGCCCUUGGAUAGAGAGAUGUAGGGUUGUGAUGAUGGUGGUAGGUGGUGGUAGGUGGAAUAGUGUUUGAUCCAAGGGCUAUUAGUAAUUAAGGAGUAGAUCCAAGGGCUAGAAAUCUAGAAGCACCAAAAGUGUGAUACUUCUAAAAGUAUUCUAGCUCAAUUCUAUAUAUAUAUAUAUAUAUGAGUCCGGCUGGAAUAAUAUCAAUAGCACCAUGCAUUUGGUGCUAUCAAGUUUUCCACCGUUAGAUUUAACCCUUUGACUAUUUUCAUCCGUUAGAUUAUACUAUUAAACCAAUAACUCACUCAACCCUAGGGGGCCUACAUCAUCUUAACCGUACAUUUUUUAAUCCAAAGGCCGAAAACCUAAUAGCACAAAAUGCUUGGUGCUAUUGAUAGUAUUCCAGUCUAAGUCUAUAUAUAUAUAUAUAUAUAUAUAUAGGCUAUGGCUACUAUACUCUUAUGAGUAUAAAGCCCUUCAUACUCAUAAGUUGUUUUCAAUGAUGGAGUUUCCAAAUCGACAAUCCACUCUGUUAAAUAUGAUCUUGUCACGCCUCGGGGUCCCUUUGGAUUUAAGAUCCAAUGCGGAAGUGCCCAAUUUUUUUAUUUUUUGAAAACUUUGACCCCAGAGUAUGUCAGAUCCGCCACAAAUAUAAGGAAUCCACUGUUCAUACGGACAGAGUCUCCCGUGUAUUUGCACGGCGUCGCACGAGUACAAUAUACAACGACAACCGUAUGAGCAUACACAUACAUUUACCAUUCAUAUUUACAUUCAUUUCAUUACAAAUAUCCAUAAAUACGCAUCUAUCAUUUUAACAUGUUUUCCACCCGGAAACUCAUUUUGAAGCACUAAGAGUCAUGAAAACCAAUUAAAACCUUUCAAAAUCGUUUCCCACAUGGAAACACUUUUUCUUUAAAACACGCUACCACAAGAGGUAGAAAAUCGUUUUCAUCUCAAAGAAAACCCUAAAUUCUUUAAUUCAUUCACCAAAGUCACAUUUAUUCAAGUAAAUGAAAGCCAACUGAACCAUAAAGUUUAAGUUAGUUAUUUUGAAUAAGGAUAGAAACUAGACCGAAUGUCACCGGGCCGGAAACUCUAUCGACCGCUACGAACGUGUCUCACG
RNAcentral lists this long non-coding RNA (69220 nucleotides) under Ananas comosus (pineapple). RNAcentral describes it as "long non-coding RNA (ACOM_LNC008668)". The record is from RNAcentral. Lineage: Eukaryota; Viridiplantae; Streptophyta; Magnoliopsida; Poales; Bromeliaceae.